GCUCCCUCCCCUUGACUGCAUAUUGAUCUAAACAUACAUAUUCAUAUCAAAAUACAUGAAAGGAAGCUGUCACUUUAUUCAUUAAAUAGAUGCUUCAAGUAGCUAUAACAAUAGCAGCAUGCGAUAUUGUUUAGUUUGCUUGGAUGAGGUGGGCGUCAAUGUCUUUGGAGAUAUCUUGAACCAAUUGCAGUAGAGUCUCGGGGUCCGCAAUCCCAUCGUGCAGCUUCUCGUAUUCCAAAGUCCAGUGCACUACGCUGCCACUAUCCUCGCUCUUGGGCGAAACUAGAAUCGUGGCUACGAAGCUCUUGUACUCUUCCAUUAGAUCUCCUUCGAUCACUCUGAAAGUGAUCAAAUUCUUAUCAGGGUCUACCGCUUCCACUACUUCCUUUGCCUUUUUAGCCUUUCCAUCUAAACAAACAACCUUUUUUCUUUAACAAAACAAAAAGAGCAACAAAUCAAGUGAUAAGCAUGAAAAGAAAUUGGGUUUAUUAUGUUAUAUCAUACCAUGCACAUAACUCCAGUGGACAAUGGUACCGACUUUCCCCCAUUUACCUUCAUGUAGAUCGCAUCCUUGAAUCUUGUCAUAGCAAGUAUGGUGCACGUGAUGUGGUUUGUGGGCGAACAUUUCAUGAAACUGCUCGGGAGAAGCCUUAAUAUCUACAUCUGCCUCAAGCUUACCUGUAAGAGUUGAAGAUGCCAUCGUAUCACCAACAAUGUUUGAUGUGGGAGUGGUUUGUUUGAUGUUUAGGCUAGGCAUUAUUUAUAGACCGAUGUCAAUGUCUAAAGCAAUAAUCCUCUCCAAAUGAUACUACUCAAUUUCCUAUUCGUUCACCAAUUAUCAUUUAACAUAUAUUUAAUUUUGCACACUUGGUUUACUUAUUGAAUCUUCUUUGAACCAAAAAUAUAAAAGUUUUAUUUUACUCAAAUUUUAUUCAUGAAUAUUUAAAAUAUUGAAUCUUGAAUUCUCUUAUUUGAUUCUUUUUUUAUGCUUUUCAUAUCCGUUUUACAAAUUAUGUUCAGGGUUUAUGACUACUCUUUCCAACAAUGUCAUUUUCGAGAUUCAAAUCUACAUUCUCUUGGGAGUAUAAUGUGAUUUACCACUGUGCCCAAUAUUUGAUUUAAUGAACAUAAAUAAUUAACGUUUUAAUAAAUGGAAAAAAUAUUUUAUGUAAAUAAAUAAGUUUGAACAUGGUACCAACAUUAUACUAAACAUAAUAAAAACAAAGGGCAACAUGGCAAAAUUCAAAAAAUUAAAAAAAAAACACAACAUUAUACAUUGCAUUAUCAAAAUAUGUUAAAUUCAAAAUUUAUAUAAAUUUGUGAUACCUAAUUGUACAAAUUGAUCAUUUUAAUGUCUAUAUGGACUAAUUCAUUUAACUGUAUUAUUAUUAUUAUUAUUAUUAUUAUUAUUAACUAGAUGAUCAUACAAAAAGUUAAAGUUAUAGAAAUAUUUCAUAAAAAAAAGUUAUAAAAGUGUAGUUUUGUAUUAGAAUAAGUUGAUUAUUUCUUAAAUAUAAUAAUUAUAAGCAUAAGCAUAAUGUAGCACUUUGCAGUUUUUUAUUUUGAAAUUGUUAAAUUAUGUUAAGUGAAUUGAUUUGGUUCAGUGGUUUAGUGUUAUGUUUGUGUGCGAGAGGUUUUGUGUUUGAUUCCUUUCCCUUGAAUUUUGAUUAUUUUUAUCCCAACCCCUGACUUAGAAUAUCUAGCUUAUCUUUAAUUAUUGAGUAGUUUUUGACAAGAAUAAGCUUGUUGGUUUAAUGGUAAGGCUUUAGCUUACCCAUGAGUCUUGUGGUCAAAUCUUAAGUGCUCAAAGUAGAAAUAUUUUUGCUCUCUUUGUUGUGCUCUCUGUUUUCCAUUUUUCUUUUUGGUUUUCCUCAAUUCUAUUUGUGUUCCUAAAACUUUCUUUCUCUAUCGUUUAUCUUUUGCGAUUAUUCUUUCAUUUAUUUUUGUCAUUAAUCAUCUUGUUUGGUCUUUUACCGUCACUCCGUCUUUCCAUUGAUUAAACCAUUAUUUACGCACCCUUAUUUCUCUGUCUCUCUAUUUUAUGCUCUUUCUCUUACGUAUUGGUCAUGUGUGAUUGGUGUGUUAAGUUUCUGUGUGGAAAUAUCUAGUAAGUAAGAUUUAUUUUCAGUUGGUGAUUUCUGUUUUGAUGCGAUUUCUCGUGGAUGGUUAGUAUUCUGUGUUGUUGUUAAUUGGAGUGGUCUGAUUAUGUCAGUGUUUUUGAUAGGAGAAGAUCGUGAGACACACCCUCCUCCCGCGAGUUGAGGGCCUUUGAACUGCUCCUUCUUGGGGUAAGUGUUUGAAUGCUGAGUUAUUGACUAAUUUCAGCUAGGGUCGAAUACCCUAUUGUUUAGGCCGAACAAGUGAUUUAGUUUCAGUACAUUGUUACUAAUUGAUUUGUUUUAGAUGUCAUUCAUAGGGUUUAGAAGAGUGUUGUUGUGUCCCUGUUCAGAAAAUCAUCAGGUGUGUGACUCAAACUCCACUAAAUUGUGAAACUGCGUGAAACCAAAUUUGCCAAUCAACGACACAUGGUCAUGUGUCUAGCCAUGUAAGCCACGCGAGCGUGUGUCUGGCUGUGUGCCAGGCUGUGUGGGUCACACGGGCUGGAUACUUAAGGCGUGUAAGCCCAUUUUGUAGGUUAAUGUGUCUAAAUUUGUGAUUCGUAAAAUUUUGUAACGGUUAAGUGGCCAUAUCUGAAAUCGGUUAAAACCAUUAGGUAAUGCAUGAUGAUUAAAUGCAAACAUUUUGUGAGUAUAAGCAAUAUGUUAAAAUCGUAUAUUUGUUUUAUGAGUAUUUGAGUAAGCAUGUCUUUAUAUUGUAUCUCUGAUUUUGUUGUUGUGCAUAAUUUUGGCCUGUGAAACUGUAUGCUUUAAAAGCACAUCUCUGAUAUGAUAAGCUUAUAAAUGAGCAUGUAUAGUCUGAAUAAAUAUGUGCAUAUGGUAUGUUUUUACAUGUGCAUUGGGGUGGGAUGCGAUAUGUGACGGAGGAAGUUCCGGCAUUGUAACGCUCUAAACCCAACCUAGACGUUAUGGCCGAAUCUGGGAAUGUUACGAAGAAAAGUUAUAAUUCUGACCUUAUCAUUUUGAAAACAUCGUAUAUUUUUGUUACUAAAAGAGUCUACUUAUUUAAAAAUGUGUUGUUAUUCUUAUAAGUUAAAACCGUCAAUUGUUUACAUUUUCAAGUAAAUCAAAUAGUUUGCAAUGGAAAUUCUUAAAUCGUUGUAUUAUGAAAAACAGAGUUUAUUUCCUCGAAAAUGGUUGAUUACAGAAAAAUGACUGUUUUCGAAAAUCAUUUUAUCAAACGUCAUUGCAAGAUAUCCCAAAUUAAAAUCCAAAUCCAAAAUAAAAUCCAAAUGUCUAGAGAGUCCCAAAAUUACAAAACUCUCAUAACCAAAUUUUUAAUUGAGCAAAUUAUGUAAAUAAUGUUUUACGUAAUCGUGGCAUAUCUGAGCUCCCGUCACACCAACUCGCCUAAGCCUGAGGAUUACCUGAAAGUAACAGACAAACAGAAGGUGAGUUUUAAAACUCAGUGUGUAACUCAAUAGAAACAUAAAUUCAGAUUCACUCAUAUGGCAAAACAGAUUCAGACAUAAAUAUUUUACAGAAUCAGAUUUGUAAUAGAAUCAUAUAGAUACGGAUAUUCAUAGUCCUACCCCCAUCCUUUACACACAAACUCUGACCAUCCCAACACACCACGUGGGGUAUAAAAACACCCACCCAGCCCUACAUACCACAUAGUGUCCAUACGACACUUUUCAGAAUAAUCGCAGCAUUCCUCCUCAUAAUACAUAACCCUCCCCAUAGCCAGAUACAAACAAAAUAUCAAAUAUAACAGUAUAAUAGAUACCAGAAUGUAUAUCACAUGCAUGCUCGUAUAACAACUACUAAACAUGCUCAUACAUAACAGAACAUGUAACAGCCCAAUUUUAGGCCUAGUCGGAAUAGUUGUUUCGGGACCAAAAAUUUAUUUUUUAUUAUAUUUUUAUGGUCUAAAAUUUCACAGAAUGAUUUCAUGAAAAUUUCAUUCAAAAGUUUCGACGUUUGGGCACUCAAUUUAGCCAAAAGGACUAAAUUGUAAAAAGUGUAAAAGUUGAGUUCUACAUGUUAGAAGUGUCCAAUUGUUAUGAAAUUUUAAAUUGGAGGUCCUUAAAUGGUAAUUAGACCAUUGGUUAACUUUUUGGACAAAAAUGGACAAGAGAUAAGUGAAAUAGGAAAUUUUUAAGUUGGGGGAAUUUUGGUCAUUUAGUAAUUAAAAGAAUUAAAAAGGCCAAAAUAGCCAAAAAUUUGUCCAUAUUCUCCAUGGUGAACGAAAUAAGCAAGGGGGAAGCCAUAUUGAGGGUUUUCAAGCUUCCAAGCUCCAUAGUAAGUGAUUCCAAGCCCCGUUUUUAAUGUUCUUUACGUUUUUGGAGUCCCGGUAACUUGAUUUAGCUUAUUCUAGCAAUAAUUUAACCUAGGGUUCAUAUUUUGAAAAAUACCCAUAGGUGAAAUGUAUUUAUUUUGAUGUUUUAUGGUAGAAUAUGAAGCUUAAAAUUAUGUUAAAUAACUUCUACUAGCCGAUUUUAAGUGAAAACGAGUAAAUUGACAUAAUCGGUAAAAAUACCUAAUGUUCAUAAGUGUUAGAGUGAGAAUUUGAUGUUUCCAUAGAAGGGAAAAAUGUUUAGCAUGUCAUAAAACAUAAUAAAAAGGAAUAAAUUUUAAUUUCCGAGCCUAGGGGCAAAAUCAUAAUUUUGUGAAACUUUAGGGGCAAAAAUGUAAUUUUUCCAAAAUGUGAUUUUUGGACUGGAUUGAAUAAUUUGAGUGUUAAAUAAGUUAAAUGUGUUAUUAUAAGUCAAGAAAGACAAGGAAUUAACUUUGAUUAGUGAAAAAGAAAAAAAUGAGAAAAAUUGAGAAAUUUCCCGAUUGAACAAUCGGAAUAAAAAGGGAUACGAAUGAAGUGAUAGAAAUGAUCACAUGUGUGGCAUGGACUGUGUGUAGGCCAGAAAGUGAAAGUGAUAGUCACGUGUGUAGUACUAUGUGCAGGCUACUACGUGUAUCAGAAUGAUAGGUCGCAUGUGUAGUACUAUGUGCAGGCUACUAUGCGUACCGGAUAGCUUCGAUCACGUGUGUAGUACUAUGUGCAGGCCACUACGUGUAUCGGAUAGUGAUGGUCACAUGUGUAGUACUAUGUGCAUGCUACUAUGUGAACCGGUAUCAUUAAUUAUAAGGUGGUUGCUAUGUGCUGAUCCCACCGGAUAUCAUUGAUUACAAAGGGUGGUUGCUGUGUGCUGAAUCCACCAUGUAUCUAUUAUUAUUUUGAAGUGUUCAUUGGGAAAUUGGCUAAGUGAAAAUACAUGAGAUCAUGUAACGAUUAAGUGUGAUUGAAUGAUGAAUAUAUGUGCGGAAUUGAAUUGAAUAAUGAUUGAAAGUGAAAAAGUGAAAUUAUGAAAAAGUAAAAUUACCAACAAAACAGUUUUGGACAGUAACAAUAGUGUGACUUUGAAAAAUCACCAAAAAUGAUGGAAAUUGAAUUAGAGAGUGAAUAAGAUAUGAAAUUAAAUAUUAAUGAGUCUUUUUUACAUAAAAGAAACAGAGUAAGCAAAAGAGUUAUAUAUUUUUAGAUAUUUUAAUUUUAGUGAGGUAGGGUCCGAUUGGUUUCGGAAUCCCCUAUUCUGACUUUGGAAAAUAAUUAAAAAUUGUAAAAAAAUAAUUAUAAGUUAUAAUUUAUAUUUUUAGAAUCCUUAAUGAGUCUAUUUUCAAAGAAAACAAAUUAAAAUAUCAUCUGAAUUCUAUACAAUGAGAUAAUUCAUUUUUAGUGAAGAGAGGUCAGAGAUGUUGAGCAGUUAAAUAGGGGUGAAUUUAAAGAAUAAAUUGUACUAAUUGGCUAAGCCAAAAAUUCUGAAAAUUUUAUGGUAAUAAGAUAUGUGAGUGUAGUUUUGGGAAAAAUUAACGUAACUUAAUUUGGAGCUCUUUAGCUCCAAAUAAAAAUAAUUUAGUGACUAUAACUCGACUAGAUAACUUUGAAUUUAAAUAUAAGUGAAUAGUGAAAUUAUGUAUAAUGUGAUUUAAGCAUGUUAUAUGCAUAAAGGAUAUGGGAUGGAGAGGAGGAGGAGGACAAUAAAGUAUAUGAAUGAAUUGUGUAUAAUUGGUUAAAUGCCUGAUUAUAAUCGAUAAAUGUUGAAAUAGGAGUGAUGCUUAUAUUGGUGCAUUACUGAUCAUGGUAAGCUCAUAAGAGAAAAUAAAGUUUCAUAGCAUAUGCGUGUAGUAUAUUUGGCAUGAAAUGAUGUCAUGAGUGGGUCAUGAAUUAACUCAUGUUGGUAAGUUGAUGCAUAAUUAUAGUAUUCAAAUAUAUACAUAUUUGUAAUAUUUUGCUAUGUGAUUCGGAAAAAGGGGAAUAAAUAGCAUAUUGAAAUUCGACCAUGGUGCUAGUUUAUGUUAAAUGAGUGUUUUAUGGCAUAUCUUAAGUAAUGGAAUGUUAUGAAUUUUGAGAUUAAUUUGCUAGUCAAAUAAAUGACAAAUGAAUUGAUUGCGUAUUCGUAAUUUUGACAUAUGCUUGGUAUAUGAAACGUAAUAAUAUAUGCUUGAAUAAACUUUAACACCAUGUUGGUGGGCCCCACUUAAUCCCCCUUUAAUCCGUUGUUUGGUUCAUGGUAUUGCUAUUACGGGUCUAAUACAUUACUGACCUAAUCGGUGAAAUCCACCGAUUUCUAAUCCCUCCAUUUUGCUCAGUUUAGGUGUUGCUUCAGUUUACCCUCCCUGUUUUACCCUCCCGAUCGGCUUCUUUUAUUUUUUCCUCCUUCUCCUUCUUCAUCCUUCAUCUUCUUCUCCUUCUUCAUCCAGGUAACUUUCCUCCUACUUCUUCCGUUCUUCAUCUUUUAUUUCCAAUUUUCCUUAGCUUUGUCCGUCGCAUAUCUUCUCUUCUCAGGGCUGUUGUUUUGUUUCGCUCAAAUCUAUGGCUACUUUCACCUUUUUCUCUCUUUUUCGGUACUCUUUUAUCUGUUUAUAUUUUGUUAAUGUUAAGGACAGAGUGAUAAAGUAUUGAUUCUGGGUAUUUGAUUUGGACAGUAAUUAUGUAACGACUGCAAGGAUUGUUGCAAUUGUGAGAGCCUCACCACGACUCUCUUCUUCUCUCACCUCCAUCAAUUUUCUAACACCAAAUCACUCACGCAAGUAUUUUUCUUUUCUUUUUAUUUGGUUGGGAAGUUCUCUUAUUUCGGCAUUCAAUUGAUGAUUACUGUUAUUCUUUUCUUUUCUUUUUUUGCUUUUCUGCAUUUUAACCACGUGCAAAUGAUUAGGAUGAACUUGGAGAAGAACUAUCUGCGUACCUGAUCCAUAAACCUUGGUUCGGCUUUUCUUGAAGCAGUUUCUCUAGAUGGAAUACUGGCCUAGUUUAAAUUUCUAGUUACAAUUCUCCAGCACAAAAUGUUAGUAGCAAUACGGUGAAGAACGUUGUUUGGUUGCCGAGAAAUACGUAAGGAGAAAAAAAUGGAGUGAAUGAGUGAUAUGUUUGGUUACAUUUUAUCUUUUCCAUUUUGUUGCAUCAAUGUUCUUAAGAUAAUUUUUGUGUUUUUGUGUUUUUUAACAGAGAACUUAAUGAUCAAUCAACUAGUGUGUUGCACUCGUAUCAUGAUUCAGGUUAGAAGUUUCUCCUUGUUUUCCCCCACUCGUACUUCAAUUUAAAGAUGAUUAGCAAUUCCUAGUCCUAUGGUAAAAAUGGUAUUGAUUGAUUGUUUUCCCCCACUCGUACUUCAAUUUAAAGAUGAUUCCUAGCCUUCUUUACCAUUAUUAUAAUUUUAGUCUUUAUAUUAGCAUCAUUUUUGACACUUGGAAAUCGCUGCAUGCCUUGCUUUGUUAUAUUAGGUGCAAUGCCGAGGGAUGUUUUCAACACACUACCACCGUUUAGUUAUGGACUAUAGGAACAAUUCCAAGGUGUGUCUGCUUUCUGUUGGAUAAUAUAUUUUUUAAACUGAAGUUUAUAGCAUUUAUAAUUGGCAAAUUAUAUUAGGUGCAGAGAGAGUGAAUGAGAUAUUUUGAGUUGUACAGCAUUAGUUUGAAGUCUUAUCUGCCAAUUUGUUUAGUGAAAAUUUGUAAAAUGCAGGGCUCAUUGCUAUUUUAGUGUCUGUUCAAUUUCCUCAAGUUAUUUAUUAUUUGCCUUUAAUAAAAUUUUACAGGUCUCUCUCUGUCACAUGGCGUGCCAAGUAGGAAAUGGAGUUGAAGGAGCUGAAGAAGUUACAUUUCUUUACAGGUUGACUCUUGGUGCCUGUCCAAAAAGUUACGGUGUGAAUGUUGCACGAAUAGCUGGUAAGGUUAUUUGUAACUUUAGUUUCUCUUUGCCGAGGAUCUACGUGUGGACUUGUGUGAAAUGGGGCCUCAUUAGCUUCUAUGUUGCUUAUAGCUUUGAUAUGUAUAAAUAUAAUAUGGAGAUUAACUUGAAUAAUGUGUACUGUGGGUUGAAACUAUAAGGACCUUCGAAGUCCAUUGAAGGAUGUGGUGUUUAGAGUGUUUAGAGUAUGAUAGCAUCAAGGAUUCCAUGGGGCAUAUCUCACCUACAGGGAAAAAAUUUAGCUUUUUGUUGAUUUUUCCUUGAAUUUAGUUCAUAUUAUCAGAUUAUUGAAAUGUGCAUUAAUCAAUACCUUCUGUUAUUAAGAACCUUUAGGACAAAAAGAUGUAGAUGUAUUUUUUUGUAUUUAUCUAGAUCUUUGUUUAUAGAGAAUCGACUGAAUUGCAAAAUUUUAGCAUCUGCUAUGAUGAAUGUCACCUAACUGGUAAUCAUUUUAGGGCUUCCUGACUCAGUACUACGAAUAGCUGCCAGUAAGUCUAGAGAAUUUGAGGCUAUAUACGGGAAACACCGAAGCAAGGGAUCUGAAGACAAGUUGCCAAUGCAAAGUAGUCUUGACGAAAUGGUAGUUUUUAUUCGGGAACUAAUCAGCCUUACACGCUUAAAGACAUGCGAGGAGGGCACUUGUAUUAGGUCAUUGAUUCAACUUCAACAGAGGGCAAGGAUGCUUCUGCAUCAACAUUGAUUGAAUGAAAUCCAUGUAAUAUUUGUAAUUUUUCCCAGGGUCAUUCAUUUUCGGAUAUAGUUAGUAAUGUGAAUAUGAUUGUAACUAAUAUGCUAUCUAGCAUUUUGUAAAGUUUGGGUGGGCUAGAAAAUUGGAAAACAUAUUAGUUGGUAGCUGGAAGGUUGAAAUGAGCUGACCGGCAUUUUGUACAAUGCAUUUCUAAUGAGAAAAUUUUGUUGACAUGAUUGCUCUAUCUCCUUGACUGAAACACCUAAAGCUGAAGCAGUUUGAAUUAAGUAAUUAGCAGUAUUUGUGAAAUUUUGGGUGAUCAAGUUCAACAUUGCUUAAAGGUCAUAAUGCUUGGCACUGGUUAAAUGUAUAAAUUAUAUAUCAUUAUUAAAUUAUAUUUAAUAUUCAUUAUUUUAAAUUAUAUAAAUUCAUAUAAGAAAAUUUAUUAUCAAGAAUUUUAUGAAAUUAUAUAUCAUUAUUAAAUUAUAUUUAAUAUUAAUUAUUUUAAAUUAUAUAAAUUCAUAAAAGAAAAUUUAUUAUCAAGAAUUUUAUGAAAUUAUAUAUUAUUAUUAAAUUAUAUUUAUAAUAAUUAUUUUAAAUUAUACAAAUUCAUAUAAGAAAAUUUAUUAGUUAUAAUUGUUUUAAAUUUUAUUAAAUCAUAUAUUUUAUUAAGAAUAUUGAUUAUUAAGAAUUUUAUUAAAUUAUAUAAGAAUAUUGAUUAUUAAAAAUUUUAUUAAAUUAUAUAUUUUAAUUAUAAUAUAUUUAAUAAUAAUUAUGUUUAAAUAUGCUUAAAUUAUUUAUUAUUGAUAUUAAUAAUCUUAUUAAAUUUUAAAUAACAAUAACAAUAAUCAUUUAUCCAAACAAAUUUAUGCUAAGGGUAUUCUAGUCAUUUUAGUUUUUUCCAUUAUGCUAUUACAUCUCUAUUCCAUUCAACCAAACACAAGAAUACUAUUACACAUCUAUUCCAUUACAUUCAACCAAACAAUUGAUUUGCUAUUACGCCUCUAUUCCAUUACGCCUCUAUUCCAUUACGUCUCUAUUCCAUUACGCCUAUAUUCCAAUACAGCGAACCAAACAUGCUCUAAGUAUUCGAAUGACAUGGAUUUGAUGGUGAUAAGAUUCGAACAUUGAAUUCAUGAAGCACAGGUGAUGUAUUAUUGUUGUGUGAUAGCUUGGUUCGAGAAAUUGGUUAGGUAAAUGGUAAGUGAAAGCAUUUAUGGAUAUAUAAAAAAUUUGGACUGAAUAUGAAAUUUAGCUCAAUUAAAUAAUUUCAUCAAUUAAACAUUGUGUAUACGAGAAUGUGUUAGUGAAUUACAUAUUCGUAAAUUGACAUUCGAAGUUCAGUUAGUGAUAAAUGAAAAGAUUUAUGAUUGUGAUUAAUAUUGAUUCUGACUUAAAGUGGAUUCUUCAAUAUUGGAUUGAUUUAACGGAUAUAUUGAGCAUAUGAAUGGGUAUGUAUUGGGCCUCAUAAACCCUAAUUAGCGACUCGAAGAUAAUAAUUUGAAAGUUUUUAAUUUGGAUGAAAUUUUAUAACUUGAUUUAAUAUGUUUAUAAGUGUAUUUAUUCUGGUAAUGCCUCUACCCUAUUCCAGCGUAGAAUACGGGUAAGGGGUGUUACAAUGUGACAUCACCAGAUUCGACCCUAAUGUUUAGGCCGGGUUUGGGGUGUUACAGAACAUAUCAUACAUAUCAUAUUACACAAUACCUAUAUAGAUGUUAUUUACAUCAAUUUCAUUCUAACAGAGUAGUAGAUUUCAUACUUUACGGCUUAUACCACACAUACCGACCCUACAGAAGGCCCACAGUCGAUCGGGAUGACAUAUACGACCCUAGGGAAAAAUUUUGAAAUUUGGACCCACAUGCCCAUGUGGCUAGCCCGUGUGGGCCCAUAUGCCCAAAAUGGCUUAGCGCGUGUGGCCUACACAGCUUGGCACAUGGCCCACAUGAACCAAAAUGGCCUAGGCCAUGUGUCACACACGGUCUCGCACACGGCCUACCACACUGCUAGCCACAUGACUGUGUGGUGUCAACAGGCCUCAAUUUCGACUUUUGCCGAUUGUCAUUUUUCGAGUUUCUCGUUAUACACCUAACUCAAUUUUGAUACGGAAACAACUACGAGACCACUAGUACUUCAAAAUUGACAAUAAACAUUUCAAUUAGCCAUGUUUCCCCAAUUAACCAAAAUAAUACACUAGCCAUAACGAAAAUCUCAAACGUUCAAACAUUUAUCCAACUUCGAGAACGAUUCCUAGCACCACUAAUCACAAGGGGAUAGUUCGGUCCUCACGAUUCACCGCUGUCAACAAGCCCAAGAUUAUAAUCAACAAAAAGAUAAUAACACCGAUUCCACAACGAACUUUGAAAUUACCCUUAAGCCGAACAAAACCCCAUAAACCCCACUUACCAGACCGCAAGAAGAAACAAAAGAAUCCAAGACACAUCGAUUCAAUCGAGCAGAAAGAUGUUAGAAUUGAAGAAAGUAAACCAAAAGAAGAGGCUAAAGGAAGACAGAAAAGAAAACGUUAGAGUAAUUUGGCAAAAAGACAAAACGUGGAAAAGAGGGAAUUUUUCAGGAAAAAUUAAAAUAAAAUUAAGAUAAUGCCCUCAAUUCCCCACUGUCCCCACUAACUACCCAAUCCCUCAAAAUUAUCCUCCAACUACCAUAGAAUUUCAAUUCCACCAAACCUCUACUACACCACCGGCAUACACCCAGAAGCAAAAAUAUUGCUAAUUACUCUCUCAAGGAUUCGAACACAAGACCCUGGGAAAAGCUAGCACUUACCACUUAAACUAGCAGGCUCAUUCUAAUAUAAGCUAUCCAAAAUAUGAUAUAACCAAGCCAUUAAAGACAAGGCUAGGAACAAAAAUAGCAAAUUUUCUAAAAGUGGGACUUGAACCCCAAACCUCAAGCACACAUACAUAGAUUUCUGGCGGUAACACCGCAAAUUUCUGUAUAUUAUGUUAUGCAAUUUCUGGCGGUAACACCGCAAAUUUCUGUAUAUGGCAAUUAAACACUACAUAGAUUUGAUUCUGGCAGUUUCCGCAUUAUAUCUUGCAGCUUGACUGCAUAUUUCUAUACAGUGAAAAACGAACACAAAUUUGGUGUGUGGGGUUGAAUGGGUAUUAAUUACCCUAUUUGGUGUGGUGGAUGGGACGAAGGUGAUGAGUAGCGGACGGGGGUAGGAUAUGUAUAUCAUUUGUGUAAUAUUUGCAUCGCAUGAUAUGGCAUGCCAUGCCAUUUGUAACUGAUCUAAUUGUUGUGCUACAUUGCCAUCUAUGCCUGUUCGGUUAUUGACUUUUGUAUGACUAUUUGUUAUUCAUUUUUGUAUAUGAUUUGAGUUGCACACUGAGCUUUUUUAACUCAUCCAAUAAUUUAUCUUCUCAGGUAAUCAGUGAAGUUAGGAUCGGGUGACGUGCGGGAGCUCAGCUUGGAUUUUAGCUAAAUAAAAAAAGGUUUAUAAUUUUAAAUUUAAUUUUGGACCUUCUGAACUGUAUAAUUGUUUUGGACCUUAUUCUUCAAGUUUUUUGAUUUUCUGCUAGAUUUUUGUUUCGUUAAACUACAAAUUACAUGUUUUGACAUACUAGAAUCACGAUUUUCAAACUAACAACUCCUAAAUUUCUGUUGAAAAACUAAAUAACAAAUUAAGUAUUUUUCUGUAAAAUAAAUAAGUUCUACGCAUAUUUUCUAACAACUUGUAAGAGUUUUGUCAAAAUUAAAUAUUUUCGAAACACACACUUAUUUAAUUUAAAAUCUGGACUUUUAAAAUAAGUUAAUGUAAUUCCUCAAAAUCCGGACAUAACGUCUAGAUCAGACAUGGGGUGUUAUACAUAAUUCUAAAUUUAGGAAAAUAAUUUAUUAAACUUUAUGAUAUUUUAUUAACACUUAUUAACCUAUCAAAUUUCAAUAUUUUAAAUAUGUGAGUAUGGUACAUAAAGAUGCGGAUUGAGAAAUUAGGAAGAAAUAGUUAGAUGAAAGUGAAAGAGAGAGUGAAAGGAGUGCGCGGUGAUAUUACGAGGCAUCUAAUCACUUUUGGGUUCCUUAAUCCCAUUCUCCAUUAGGAUACCAACAAUAAUAUAUGGACCAAUGCACAGGAAUGGGAUGCUACAUUCCAUUUGAAAGAUCAGCAGUGAAGCAUAAAUGCUUUUGUUUUUUUGGCCCCAUCAUACUCAGGUCCAUUCCUUUCUCCAUCUAUUCCUAUCAAUACCCUCACAAAUUAUUUUUUUCCACACUAUUCCAAAAGAAAAAUUGAAAGUUCAGUGUUAUUGAAUUAUGCCAUCAGUUAGAAAUUAAUUAACAAAUUUGUUUUAUAAAUUAAUAAAUAAUAUGGUAAUGGUAAUUAUAUAUUUUAAAAUUUUUUAUAUAAUAUUUUAAAAGAGAAUAAACUAUUUAACCGUUUUUACGUUUCAUAGAAAUCACAAAAUGUUGCUUAAAUUAUACUAUUUUUCCAUCAUGGUAUUUAAACUAUACUUCAUCAUCUAAAGUGAUACCUAAAUUAUACUUCGUCUUCGCUACCAAAAUUACCCUAAUCAUUAAAAAAAUUUUAACAAAUCAUUUUUGUGACAUAUUAAACUUUUUAAAUAAAAAUAAAAAUAAUAGAACUAAAUUAAUUAUUAAAAAUAUCAAAUUGAAUUAAAUUAUAACUUUUCUAUUUUUUUAGACUCUUCCUCUCUCCAUGAUUGUUUUCUCUUUUAAUGCAUUUUCUUUAAGUGUUAGAUGAGUAAACUUUGCAACCCUCAAACCAUUUUUUUUCCUAUUCAACUUCUUUCUAAUAUUGGAAUUUUGUGCUUUAUCUCUGGUUUUUUAUUAUAAAGGUUCAUCCAAUAUUAAUUAUUUUACACAAAGUAUAUAGAAAAAAAAGAAAUUAUUGAUAAGAAAAAUAAUACAUAAGUUUUGAAAUGGGAUGAGAAAGGAAUCAAAGUCCAUGUUUGAAAAAAAGGAAAAGAAGCUCAUUGGAAUAUGUGUUGUGUCAUCGAAAUAGGAUUUGGAUAUGAGUUUUUUUUACGGGUUCUUGAAUUUUCUGUCACCGGAAUUUUUAGGUAAAAAUAAAAUAGAUCAAUAUGUUUAUAUUAAAAAAAAACUUAAGGAAAUAAUCUUUAACUUCUUUUGAAUUUUUUAAGUUAAAAAUUGUCAAGUGUCACGAAAUGAGGCUUGGAUAAUUUGAGUAACGAAAUAUAGUUUAGGAACUACUUUGAAUAACAAAAUAUAUUUUAAGUACCACUUGUGAUAAAAAAGAAUUUAGUAGAAAAUAAUAUAAUUUUUUUAGUUCAAUAAAAAAAUAUAAUGUAAGUACUACUUUAAAUAAUAAAAUAUCACUUGUUACAACUUAAGAAGGAGACAUGUUCUUUGAAUUGAUGCACUGCAAAAAAGGUAAAGUUAGAUAUAGUCUGAACCGUAAACUUAGAAGCCAACCUUAAACAGACAUUUGUCACUAGAAGCCAAAAAGUUUAUCAUUACUUGCAUCUAUCUUUACAUAGACUGAGUGUAACGUAAUUUAGAUUAAUUGAAACGUUAGAAAUGUUUUCUCACUUAAAUUUAUAAUAAUGAUUUUUGCGAAUAUAAAUAAAUAAUUAAAAAUCAUUUAAAUAAUAUGAACCUUAAUGAUUGAAAGCAUUAAAAGGAAUCCCAGGGAAUAUAGUAAGUGACCCAGUAACCUCCCUGGGGUCUCCAAAAAGAUGAAUAUAGAGUAGUUUUCAUGCAGAAGUGUAGUCGGAUGAUGAUGCAGCCCUCUUCUUGGCAAAGUAUUCCUCAGCUUGAGCAAGGUUCUUUGCAACUGAAGGCUUAGCCCACUUCUUGCGCCCAGGCAGUACGGUGAGAGAGCAACUGACAGCCUUAAGCUUUUCCUUUGAAGAUGUUGAAAAGGCACGGGCCUUCAAGUUCAGCUUUACAUUCAGCUCCCCGUCACCAAGAAUCUAAAUCAACAUGAUUUAUUAUCAAUAACAAUGAAUAUUUUGUUUUAAAAACAACAUGUUCGAUUAUUGCAAUUACAAUUCUUUCCGUCUUUGCAUGAGAGAACCAAUUAAGAAGGUAGAAUUGAAUUGUUAUUUCCAUUAAUAAUUAAGAAGGUCGGGAUUAAUGCUUCAUGCAUGAGAGAAACACAACUUCCUACUUGUAGAACAAAAAUAUAUGGAAACUGCUCAAAACAUAAAACAGACAAUAACCAGUCACAGAUCGGCCUGUCACAGGGCAACCAGCCCAGUCAGAAUCACUAAAAGCCUUCAGUACAAGUGAUGAAGAGGCAGAAAAGAAGAGACCAUAAGCAAGGCAGCCGUUGAAGUAAUGAAGAACACGAUGAGUAACUUGUAAAUGACUGACUGUAGGCCGGUCCAAGAAUUGACUCAGUUGUUGAAUUGUAAAAGCGAUAUUAGGUCUAAUAGAAACCAGAUACAAUAGGUGGCCAAUAAGUUUCCUGAAAAGAGUAUUAUCAGGAAGUAAUUCCAUAGAAGCAUCUCGAGGGAUUUUGGUAGCCAUUGGAGUCUUAACAGGCUUGCAAUCUAAGAAACCAAAAUCAGACAAUAUGUCAAUAACAUAUUUUCGUUGACAAAGAUGAAUACCAGCAGAGCUUCGAGCAACCUCAAGUCCAAGAAAGUAUUUUAAAUCACCCAAGUCUUUGAUUCUAAAUGUAGAAUCCAAAAAAGCUUUAACUCUUGCUAUUUCAUCCAAAUGAUCACCAGCCAGGAUGACAUCACCGACAUAAAUCAAUAAUGCAGUGAAGGAAACAGCGUCCUUUUUAACGAACAAGGAGAAAUCAGAACUGGAUUGAAUAUAACCAAGAGAAGUAAGAGCAGAUGUGAGCUUAGAGAACCACUGUCUACUUGAUUGCUUUAGACCAUAUAAGGAUUUUUGUAACUUACAAACCUUAUUGGGAGUUGAUGGAUCAAAACCAUGAGGUAAAAGCAUAUAAACCUCUUCACUCAAAUCACCAUGCAAAAAAGCAUUGUUAACAUCAAGCUAGUGCAAAUACCAAUUCUUAGAAGUAGAAAUAGCAAGUAAAAAGCGAACAGUGGUGAUCUUGGCUAUAGGUGAAAAAGUAUCAAAAUAAUCGACACCCUCAGUUUGUGUGAACCCCUUUGCAACCAAACGAGCCUUGUAAUGUUCAAUGGAACCAUCGGCUCUAUGUUUCACUCAAAAACCCAUUUACAACCAAUUGCAGUCUUGCCUGGAGGUAAAUCCAUAAUGAUCCAGGUGUUAUUUUGUUCAAGAGCAGAAAUUUCAGCCUGCAUUGCUUCUCUACAAUGAAAAUGUUUACUAGCUUGUGAAUAUGUUUUAGGUAUAGAGGAAACACUAAUGGCAAGAGUGAAAUGUAAAUGGGUUGAAGAAAGGUUAGAGAAAGGUGUUGUACAUCGAAGAUGAUUGGUAGCUGCCUUGCUUAAAAAGCAAUGAUAUUGGUCUAAAUAAGAAGGUGGUUUCCGAAUACGAAGUGGCCUGGAAGAUUGUAAGGGAGAAGUCGGUUUAACUUGUGGCUGAGAUGGCAAAUCAUCAGUGGUGGAGGGAUCAAAAACCAGUUUUGGGGUGGACGAAUGAGAUGGUUGAUGAGAAAAAGGAAAGGUUGACUCAUGAAAGAUGACAUUUCUUGAAACAAAGAUGGCCUAGGACAACAGAUCAAAAAGGAUAUAUCCUUUAACAUUUGGUUGAAAUCCAAGAAAAAUACACUCAUGGGCUCGAGGAUCAAAUUAAUGACGAUAGGCAGUAAGGGUUGUAGCAAAACUAAGGCAACCAAGGACACGUAAAUGCUAAAAGUCAGGCUUGGUUUGGUAAAGUUUUUCAAAAGGAGUAAGAUUAGCCAAAAGGGGAGUUGGGGUACGGUUAAUAAGGAACAUAGAAUGAAGAACAACAUGUCCCCAAAAAUGCUUAGGUAAACUAGAAUGGAAUAAAAGAGCCCGUGAAACAUUAAGAAUAUGUUGAUGCUACGUUCAACAAGACCAUUUUGUUGUGGGGUUUCAACACAAGAAGUUUGAUGAAUGAUUCCUUUAGAAGCAUAUUGGAAUAUCAAACUUACGGCCAUUAUCAGUUUGAAAGACCUUAAUUUUGGAGGAAAAUUGAGUUUCAAUAACUGUGUAAAAAUUUUGAAUAUGAGUACGAACUUCAGAUUUGGCUUGCAAGAGAAUAAUCCAAGUAAAACGACUGAAAUCGUCAACAAUAGUUAGAAAAUAACAAUGACCAGUGACAGACACAACAUCAGUCGGACCCCAAAUAUCAAUGUGAAUAAGAUCAAAGAUUUUAUUAGAAACAGAAUUGCUUAGAGCAAAAGGAAGUUUCUUUUGUUUUGCCAAAUGACAAGCUUUACAAUCUGAAUUAUUUGCUAUGGACAAAGAAGGAAUAUAAUAAGAAAGUAACUUCAAUCUUGAAUCAGAAAGGUGACCAAGACGAUGGUGCCAAAUGUGACAUGAUGUGGUGGUGGCUGACAAGACAGUAGGAAUGGUAAUGGAGAAGGUUUGAGCUGGUGAGUCCCAAAAUAUAAAGACCAUGAAAAAUAUUAGCUGUACCAAUCAUCUUCAUAAAGGGAAGGGCCUGUAAGGAACAAUGAGUUUUAUGAAAAGUGAAUGAAUAAGGUAAGGUGGCAGUAAGUUUAGUAACAGAUAAGAGAUUGAAAGCAAACUGAGGAACAUAAAGGACAUUUGUAAUAUAAAGGUUAUCACUAAAAAUAAUUGUACCAGAAAAUCGAGCACAAACUUUGGUGCCAUUAGGAAGAGUGAUAUGCACAAAUUGAAUUGGAGUGAAAGAGGCAAACAAGGAUAAAGAAUGUGUAAUAUGAUCGGUCGCACCAUUAUCUAUAAUCCAAUGGUGUGAUUGAAAAGAAAAGAGGUUACCUGCAGAUGUAGAAGUCGUUUGGUGUAAGGAAGAGACAGUGUUGGUAACAUGAGGUGGUGAGGUAGAGUUUGAAGAUGGAAGCAAUGCGAGCAACUGUUGUAACUGUUCUUGUGUCAAAUUAACACAAGGAUCAAAUGGCAAGGUAGCAACAGACUGUGAAGAGUUCAAGGAUUGUGCAGCACCAUCAUCAAACACAGUGUGUGCAUAAGAAGUCCGACCACGAGACUUAUAACCAGGUGGAUAACCAUGCUUCGCAUAACAUGUAUCAACAGUGUGCCUAGAUUUGCCACAAAAAGUGCACUUCCGUGAAUCAGUAGAAGAUUUUGCCUGAGAUUUCUUGAAAGAAGAAUGUUGGCGCAUUGUGUUACUAACAAACACUUGAGAAGAUCCAAUAGUAAGAUGACGUUCCUGUUGAAUGACCAGAGAAAAGGCUUUAUUGAUCGUAGGCAAUGGAUCAAUGAGCAUAAUUUGAGAGCGAACACCAGCAAAUCGAUCAUGAAGACCUUUAAGAAAUCGAAUGACAUAGUCAUUAUCAUGAUAUUUCUAAAGAGUAGCAAAAACACCACAGGAACAAGGUGUGUGACAAGAACAGACGAGAAUCGGUCGAAAAUUCAACAACUCAUCCCAGAAAAUCUUCAACUCAGUAAAGUAAUCAGUGACCGAGCGAUCAUCUUGCUUGAAAGUAGAGAUCUCUUCUUGGAGAUCAGAAAUGCGAAAAACAUCUCCUUGAGAAAAACGUUCAUGGAGAUCGCGCCAAAUCUUAUAAGUAAAGUCUAGCCAAAGAAUACUAUUCAUGAUUGAAGGCAAGAUAGAGUGAUGCAGCCAAGAGAUCACCAUAGUAUUGCACCUUUCCCAAGCUAAAUAAAGAGGAUCUGUUCUGAUCGAAACUGGGAUUGUGCCAUCAACAAAUUUAAGCUUCUUCUUGGAUAAAAGCGCCAUUGUCAUUGCACGAGACCAAGAAUGAUAAUUCGAUCUUGAUAAGGCAAGAGAAACAAGAACUAAGGCUGGAUUUUCAUUUGGAUGAAAGUAAUAAGGACUGGAAGGUAGUGUAGGAUCAUGGAGUGCCAUUGGAAAGAAAUAAAACCAAUGAAAAUCAAAGAAACAGAGUGUUUGGGAAGCGAGAAAGUGCAGAAAAAUGCAAGAGAAUUGAAAGAGAAUUUUAGAUCUGAUACCAUGUAGAACAAAAAUAUAUGAAAACUGCUCAAAAUUAUUUACAAUACAAAGGCUCAGUUAUAUACAACUUACAAGAGAAAAGAAAAAUAAAAGAAUUGAGAACUUACAUAGGUGUAUCAAACUAACUGCUAUAUCUGCUAACUGACUAACAAUUAAAUUAGAUCUAUAUUACUAACACUACUCAAGUUGAUCUCCAGAACAAGUAGCAUUGGGGUCAUUAUACUUAAACAAAGUCUAAAAAGGGCUCUGUUAUAAUAUAAAUCCAAGAGCAUAUUCACCUUUAAAGGGAGUUUCCUCUCUCUUCCUGAAGGCAAACCCUUCUCCUUUAAAGACUCCAAUGACACCUCAUCUCCCUCUUGAAAUCCAAUUGUUUCGUUGUCUUUUAAGUUAACCGGUAUGUAUUUGGUAAUCUCGCAUGCAUACCUUGCAAUGUCAAAUGAAAAUAGCAUUAAUUUAAACACUAAGCAAAUAUAUAUAUUUAAGCAUGCAUGCAUGUAUGUUUGAUAUAUAUGUUAUACUAAAAGGCAAAAAAAAAUUAUUAAUGGAAGAGAUAAGUACAUAAGCUUUUUGUAAUAGUGGUGAGCAAAAACCAGUUAUAAUUUAUUCAAACCAAACCACAAUCUAUUUAUUUAAUUAUUUUUAUUUUAUUACAUAAAAAUAAAUCCUCUAUUUCUAAAUUAGCAAAAAUAUAAAAUAUUAAAAUAUAAUUCUUUUAGAACUUUAAAAACCAAUCAACCAAAUCACAAAUUUGGCCUCUUUUUAUCUUACUUUUAGCAAAUUAGAAUAUUGCAAAUUAACCACAACUUUUAUACAAGUUGAACCAAACCAUUGCCGAAUCUAGUCAUAACAAUGUUACAACUGUAAAAAUAAGAUUAAAGUUUUUUUGAGAUAAAUUAAGUCGUGUUUUGCAAAAUAAUUACUGUUUUUACAAGUUCAAACACUGUUUAAUAAGGCAAGCUUUCUGGUGUUUUCGGGUGGUCAAUGUAACUUCCAGGAUCCAAUCAUAACGUUUAGGUUGGGUAUGGGGUGUUACACAAGGUCUAUGUUCAUAUAGCCAAGCACUAUAUGUCACAUCCCAAAAACUAGAUUAGUGGGCAGAUAGUGGUCACACCCUAUUUUUAGAUAAGUGUUGUAAGUUUGUGUAAAGUGAAUUGGUUUGCUUUAGCGGUUAAGUGUUGUUCUUGUGUGUAAGAGGUCUUAUGUACAAAUCCCUUCUCUUGAGUUUUAUUAUUUUUAUUCCUACACUUGACUGGUCACAAGUAGGUUAUAUUUUAUUCUUGUUAGUAGUUGACAAGAAAGACUUUAUUGAUUCAGUGGUAAGAUUUUAACUUACCUAGGGUUCUCGUGUUUGAAUCUUCCUGUGUGUAAUGGUGGAUUUCUUUUUGUUUCCCCUCUGCUAUGCAGUCCAUGACUCAAGAAAUGGGUCAAUUUUCAAACACUUUGAGAUCUAUAGGAUAACAAAUAGUCCUAAAAGAAUCUCUCCCACUUUUCAAUCAACCGUCCCACACUUCCACUCUCUCUUUUACUGCCCUCUUCUUCCCAUUUUUCUCUCCAUCUUUGGGUUUUCUUUAGUUUCUUUCCUUCUCUUUUCUUUUUCUCUUUUUGUUUGGCUAUACUCACAUUUUAUUUUUUUCGGUUACCAUAUUACACGUUUGCGACUCUUCUUGUUGUUCCUUUCAUUGUUUGAGCGUCGAUCUCAGGUUCUUCAUAUGUCAAUUGUGAGUGCAGAAGUGUUCAAUACUGUGGUCACAUCUAUGUGUAAGUGUUUUUAUUCCUUCUCCUUUAGGAAUGAAUGUUCCAUUUGGAUAGUGUGCGAAUGAGAGGUUUAGAUUAGUGUUGGUCGUUUAAUAAGUUUUAUGUCGGGUUUUUUAUUUUGUGUUUCUAUCUAAGUGCGACACUGGAAGUGCAUAACAACCUUUCGACAAAUUAAGGUUUUCGUUUGCACUACAUCAAGGGUAAGGGAUUGUGUAUCUUAGUUGGAGACUAUUUCGGCAUGUUUAGGCUGACUACUUUUUCAUUUUUUUUUGCCAAAUACUCUAAUCAAGUAAGGGCUGAGUUAUUAUUUUGGACUUGGUGUGGCUGUUAAUUAGUCAUUUUGGAUAUUGUUUUAGGGUCCUAGAAUUGCUGUUGUUGUGAAGGCAUCAAAAAACGACUAGGUGUGUGACUCGAUCUUAUAAAAAUAGUGAAUGGGGAAAGUUGAAAAACCUACUGUUGACGCCACACUAUCGUGAGGGCCACAUGGGAUGGGUUAAGCAGGUCGUGUCACAUCCCGAAAAUCGGGUUAGUAGAAAUGGACAUUAGAUUGUGGGCUCGAGAGAAAAAUCAGGUUUUGUGUCGUAGAAGCUAAAAUAGGAUAAAAUAAAUAAUAAGUUAAUAAUAAUUAAAUAAAAUAAUAAUGGUAUUAAUAAUUGGGGAAAUAGUAAAAAUUAAAAGAGACUAAUUUGGAAUAGUGGUUAAAGUAGAGGUUAAAUGUGUAAAUUAAAACUAGUAGUUAAAAAGGGAGUUAUUAGAACAAGGGAGAAAUAAGAGAGGACUUAGAGGGUAAAUAGCCCAAUUUUAAAAAAAUUAGUUGGAUACAAAAGCCACUUGCCGCCCAAGUUCUCACCAUACUUUUUUUCAUUUUAAAAAUUUGUUAGAUCUAAGAUUGAAAGUUUUAUUUCAAAUUUUCUGCACCUUUUAGAUUUUCUUGGCAUCCAAACACCUCUUAUUCCAUUAAUUUUGCAAGAAAAUCACUUUUUCUUCUUCAAUUUCUCACCUAAACUUAGCUCAUUUUUGCUCAAUUGUUACAAAUUCAUUGUUUCUUAUAUACUAAAUUUUUAUUAGGUGUUUUUAUUUGAAUUUUCAUAGAUCUAAGCAAAAAAUUUAAGAUCCAUAGUUUUAAAGUUAUCUUUUGCAUAAAAAUGGUGAAUCUCAUACUAAAGUGCUAAGAGAUGUUUUUAAAAUGAUUUUCAGUAUAUUUUGAAAAUAUUAAGAGGCUUUCUAAUUCAAUUUAUCAAAAUCUUUAAAUAAUUGCAUGAAUUAAAUAGUUUUCUUUUGAGAAUGAGGAUGAACAAUGUUUUUUCGAAAAAAAUUAAUUAAAGAAAUUGAGCAAAGUUAAAGAUCUAGAUCUAUAAUUAAACCUUAGUUAGGGGGCUAGGAGGUAGAAAUUAAAGUUUUAAUUAAGUUAAAGAAAGAAGAAAUUAAGCGAAAUGUAUUGUACAAAAUAAGUUGAAUAAGUAUGUGUGAGUGGAUAGCCAUUGUAUGAACACAAAGAGAUAAGUUAGAUUGUUUUUAAAUGCUUAGUAAUAUGUAUUUUUUUUUGUUAAGUAAAAAACGUGGGCGGAGCCUUAGCAAACCAAGAUAAAGGCAAGCAUAAAGUUGUCUCGUUCAACAAGCCGUGGUGAGCUACAGGUGAGUGCAUUUGUAUGCCAUAUUUUAGAAUGAAUUACAAGAUCUAAAUAGUCGAAGUGAGGCUUGCGAACCCCCACUUAUGAUAUGCGAACCUUUACUUUUCCCUAGUGCAAAUUCUUGCAAUUUUGUUUGAACUGAGUAUCCAUGUUGUGCAAAAUUAAAUGGUAUGUGUAUAUAUAUAAUAUAUACGUAUAGGGGUUUUGUUAUUUAUAUAUAAUAUAUGGGUUUUGGUGUUAUAUGUAUAAUAUAUUUACGUGGGUAUGCUAUUCACAUAGUACAUAUAUAUGCGUGGUUUUGCUAUACAUAAUAUAUAUGUGUGGGUUUUAUUAUAUAUAAUAAAUAUGCGGUUAUAGAUUUUGUAUUAUCUAAUAUACAUAAAUGUAUAUGGGACUUUUAAUGUAUGUUAAAAUUGAAGUGACAAAGGUCACUAAAUAGGUCUGUGUAUAUAUGUAAUAUAUAUUCGUAUAUGGUUAUAUAGUACUUACGAAUGGACAUAAAAAUAAAAUAAUGUAAUGCGGACUUUAUAAGAUGUCAAUUCUAUUGAUAGUGCACAUUUAUGCAUGCACGAACCUGUAAGUGAAUUAUGAGUUUUAUGAUAUUGUGAGUUUUGAUUAGUGUAAAAUUAUAUUAUUGUGAAAUGCUAAGUGCGACCUCAAUAGUAGUGAGAGCCAAUUAUAUUGUGGAAUGAAAUGUGGUUAAUUAGAUAUGUUGGCAAUGUGAACACUUGAAACCGUUGGAUAACAUUGGCAUGCCAUAAGAUUGUGAGUACUCACCAUUUUAUUAUAUGUUGAACAUUGUGGCCCGAAGAUAGCGUUGUAGAGAUAAGGGAAUGUUGAACAUAGCUCAAUUAAUCGUAGAUAGUGUGGUGUAUUUGGAGAGUGUGAGCAUACGUGCUACACUUAUAUGGAGAUAGCAUAGACUCUAUGGGCCAUGUGGUGUGUUUUGGAAAUCUGUUUAUCCAAUGAGUAUAUAAUUUGCCCAUGUUUCAUAUUCAUGAAUGGCCAAUAUAUCACUGUGUUGAGUAUGUAAUUUGUGUUAUAUGUGAAUUGUUAAAGUAUGUCUAAAUCCUAACAUGUAUGAUGUGUAUAUUUGUGUUGUAUGCAUGUGUACUCACUGAGCUUCUCCAAGCUCACACUCCUUACUUUACAUUGAAGAUAAAUAGUUCGUAGGUUAGCGAAUAGGGUGGCAAAUCGGUGAUCCAUUACAAGCCAUUUUUUAAAGGAUGUGUGUGAGCUUUUAAACUCCGAAGUGAAGGCAAUGUGGGUUUCUCAAAGGGUUUAGUACUAGAAUUAGACUUGGACUUUUUAAAUAAAAUUUUUCACUGGUUGUAAACGAACAUUACAGACUUUUUUUUGGGAUUUUUUAAUGUUAUAAUUGCUUGCUUGAUUGCUUAUCUUAUCUAGAUGGUUCUAAGUACUUGUUGAUGAUAAUUAAAUAAACUAAUAAUUUUUUGCAGGUAAGGGAGACCACUAGGUAUUAAGGUACGCCUUAUACUUUCUGUUUGUGUGAAUGCAAUGAUUAAUUUAAAAAAGCAUGCAUUUAGGUCUAAUUUACUAUAUGAAAUAUUCUACAAAUGUGUGGUGUGUAUGGUUGGUGUGGUUCGUAAAGUUUUAAAUAGAAAGACACUUUGGUGGCUAAUGUGACGUUUAAACUUCGGGCCAGAUCGUUUCAGUCGGGUUUAGGGUAUCACAUUUAAUGGUAUCAGAGCCAGGUUUAUAAAAACACAGACCGAGAUACAAUUUCGACAAAUUAGCAUAUUUGAAAAUAUAAAUACAUUGAAUUUAGAAUAAAAUUGGAAAUGCUUAAACCUUUGUGAAAAAGUAACCUUGUAUGAAAAUUAGUUGUCAAUAGGGUAGGAAUGGGAACACAUUGACUUCUUUGAAAGUGUUUUCUUGAAAAAUUUCCUAGGAUAACUUGUCACUUGUCACUUUCCCGUUUUAUUUAAUUUUAUGUAAAUAGUAGAUAAAAUGCCUCCUAGUCCCAGCUAUCCGGCUAAGAAUGCACCAGUGGAACCACCCCCAAGGCAAGCUGCACCUGGAACUGGUUUCGAGCCCUUGGUUCAAGCGAUGAGUGGGGCGUUUCAAAGGAUAGCUGGUGGGAACCCUGCCGCAGCUACGAAAGGGUUGUCACUCGAACAACUCUGAGCUUUGGGUGGUAAAGAAUUUUGACGAGCUAAAUGAGCUGAUCCGACCAUUGUUCAAAAUUAGUUGGAGAGUGUUGAAAAGAUCCUUGAGCAAAUGGGAUGCUUGAAUAAUGAGAAGUUGGGUUGUACCAUAUCCUUACUAAACGGUGAAGCUCAUCGCUGGUGGAAUACAGUAAAGAGAGAGAUCAUUGAUGAUCACCUGUCUUGGGAGUUCUUUUUGGAGUUUUUCUUAAAUAAGUAAUUGGGAUAGUAGUAACUAGAUGCUAGAAGUAAGGAGUUUCUAGAUCUAGUCCAAGGAAAUAUGUCUGUGGCUAUGUAUGAGUUCGAGUUUGUGCGACUCAACCAGUAUGUUCCAGAGAUGGUAUUCUUUGAAAAGGAGAGGUGUAAUAGGCUAAAUCGAGACAUUCGAGUAUAUCUAGUAGCACAGAAGACUGAGGCCUUCGAUGAUUUGGUAGAGAAGGCUAAGGAAGUAGAGGAGACACUAAUCGAGCCACUGAGACUAGUUGUAUCUAAAUCCAAAAAGAGGGGCUCCAAUCAGUCAAGAUCGUCGAGAAGGCCAAGCAAGAAAGGUCGUGAUUUUCGAAAUUUUGAUGGGUGUUUGACGAGACUCUCAACCAAGCCAGACUGUACCACAGAGCACUACAGUAGUUUCUGAGAAUGGAUCAGCUGAGGUGGCAACUUGUGAGCAUUGUGGACGUGGGCACUCGAUAGUGUUUUGGAGAGUGUCGGGGGCGCAUCUACAUUGUGGGUUAAUGGAGCAUCGACUACAAGACUGCUUAAAGAGAUUUGAGUUGUCUCAAACUAUCGCACUUAUUAAAGGCCAAGGCUUUGGUGGUAACGGGAGAUCGAUGGGUCAGAGGACAGUUGGCAAUAUAGUAGUUGUAUUGACUGAGUUUUGUGGACCCACUCGUGUUUACGCUGUUAAAGAGCCGCAGAACCGUGAGGCAAUAGAUAUGAUUGUAGGUGCAUUCAUAUUGCAACCUUUUUCUUUAUUUUUGUUAGUAGAUUUGGGUUUCACCCAUUCGUAUAUUGUGAGUUAUCUGGUUGGUGAGUUGGGGAUUGUAACAACCCAUUUUCAGUGAAAUCAGAAUAGUGGUUUUGAGACCACAAAUCUGAUAAGUAAAUUAUUAUUUUAUUAUUUUAAUGUCUAUGGGAUGUUAUUAAAGUCGUAUUAAAAUUUCGUUAAAAAAUUUUGAUGUUUGUAUACUUAAUUAAGUGAAAAGGACUAAAUCAUAAAAAAAAGUACAAAAGUGGAGCUCUAUUAGUUAAAAGUGUCAAAUAGCUAUGAAACUUUAAACUGAAAGGGCUUAGGUGGUAAUUAGAUCAUUCAUGAAGUUAGUGGAUGUGCAUGGCGUGAUUUUGAUGAAAUUAUGAAUGUUUUUAAAGGACAAUAUCGUAAAUAAGUAAUUAAAGGUUAAAUUAAAUAAAUAAAGACUUAUCUUCUUCAUAUCAUCAAAAAUCAACCAGAAAUCACCAUUAGAGAGGGGUUAAGUAUUUGGCCAAGCUCUCCUAUUGCAUGUAAGUGAUUUUUGAGCUCGUUUUUAAUCAUUUUUAUAUUUUCGGGAUUGUUGUAGCUUAACCUAGCUAGCUCGAGGAUCAAUUUGUAAAAUUGUUAAAGAUUUAGGGUUAUUCCAUGCAUGUUCUUGCAUGAUUCUUGAUCUUUAAUGAUAGAUUAUGAGACGUUGUUAAUAAAUAAACAAGUUUUGUAAAGUGAUUUUUGAUGAAAAUGACAUUUAGGGACUUUUUUGUAAAAAGGAUAAAGUGUUUAAAAUGUUAAGGACUAAAGUGUAAAAUGUUAAAAUAUUAGGGGAAAAUUAAUAAUUUUGCAAAAAUGUGAAAUAUGGACUAAAUUGAAUGUUAGGAUUAUUAAAUGGAUUAAUAUUGUCUAUUUAGAUCAAGACAGACCAUGUACGGAUCUAGAUCGGGGAAAAGUGAAAGCCUCAGAUUAGUCUAUCUCUUUCUCACGCCCUAGUCGUCGAGGUAAGUUCGUAUGAUUAAACAUCGUUUUAAUGUUAUAUCAAUUUAUAUGUGUUAAUUGAUAUGAAAUUAAAUUAUGUUGAUCCAUAGUAAUGUUAUGAUAAUUAUCGAGUCCCGGUUGAACCUUAAGAAUUCGUAGGAUACAAAUGACAUGUCUCUAGGGAUUUCAUGUUUCGAGUGCUGGUCUUGAAUGUCCUACCGAUGGUUGAGGUUUUUCAUUUUUUGCGAUACUCCACAGCUCGUGUAAGCAGCAUCAUGUAGCUUACAUUCUGACGCACAUCUCUUGUGCGCAGGCCCAUUUUACAACUCGUGUGAGCAAUGAUGUAUAGGAAAGGUUACAAUUAUAUGUUUAAGUACACUUUGUGUGAGCUUUCCCGAGUAUCUGAUAAUAUUCUAGAUGAUUCAACGGGCAAUGAAAAGGAUUGAAAAGGUAAGUUCCUCAAGUGGAAUUAUGCAUAUGUUCAUGAAAAGAUGAAUGAAUCAAGUGAUAUAUGUUCACAUGGAAAUGAAUUUUGUCAAAAGGACUAAAUCGUGUAAAGUGCUAAAGUUGUGUUCUAUUAGAUAAAUGUGUUAAUUAGCUAUAGAACUUAAGAGUUGAGGUCCUUAUUGAGUAAUUAGACCAUUAAAAGAGAAAGUGGAUGCACAUGGAGUGUAAUUAUGAUGUUGGAUGGGUUUGGUUGGUAUUAGGUUAUUAUAUAAUACAAUAAACAAAAAGGAAUAAAAAUAUUAUUUUUAUUUCUUUGCUUAUCUUCUUCCACCGUCUUUCACCAAGAGAAUAGCCAUUGGAGAACUCAAAUUUUUAGCAAACUUAAACCCUUGCAUGUAAGUGAAAUUUAUGUUUGUUUUUGUUGAUUUAUAUGUUUUUGGAACCCUUGAAUCUUAAGCUAGCUAAAUAGGGGACUAAUUUGCAAGAUGAUUGAAAGGCUAGGGUUUUGGGCCAUAAAAGCAUGAUAGUUGAUUGUGAAGUUUAAUGGAGGAAAAUGAAACCUUGUUGUGUGUUGAACAUUUAUUGUUAAGUGAUUUUUAUUGUAAAAUGCUAUUAUGGGUUAAUUUGUAAAGUAUGAAGAUUUUGAGUUAUAUGAGUGAAAUUGGGGAUUAUAUGGGCUGCUAUGAGCACCUAAAUAAUUCAGUUAGUCUUUGAUGGGGAUGAAAUUCCAUAAAUUUUGUUUUAUGAGCCUAGGGACUGAUUUGUAAAUAUGUGAAAGUUUAGGGGCAAAACUAUAAUUUUGCCAAAGUAUGAAUUGUGGACUGAUUUGAAUAAUGUGACUAAUAAUUAAGCUAAACGUGAUAUUAUAGAUCAAAGAAAACGAGGUUUGGACCUAAAAUGGGGGGAACUAAGAAUUGACGGUUAUGUCCCUUUUUUCGCAUUUGGUGUCGAGGUAAGUUUGUAUGUAAAUAAUAUAUCGUUUUUACGUAUGUUAUAAUGUUUUUUUAUAUUACAUGAGAUGUGGUUGUAUAUUGAAUGAUUAUUUGAUGUAAAUUAUGAAUUGAGAUUGACUAUGGAUGAAAUUGACAAAGUGAGAAUAAGUGAGAAAUUUCCCGGUUGAACUUUAGAAUAAAAAAGGAUACAAAGGACGUCAUGAGAACUCAUGUGUAGUACUAUGUGUAGGCUACUAUGAGUAUAAGAUAGUUAUGGUCACAUGUGUAGUACUAAGUGCAGGCUACUAUGUGUACCAGAUAGCUUUGGUCAAGUAUGUAGUACUAUGUGCAGGCUACUACGUGUACCGGAUGGUAUUGGUCACGUGUGUAGUACUAAGUGUAGGCUACUAUGUGUACCAAAUAGCAUUGAUCAUAAGGGUGGUACUAUGUGCAGAACCACCAUGUAUCUAUUAUUAUUCCGAAGUGUUUAUCGGGAAAAUCGACUAAGUGAAAUUAUGUGUGACUAUGUGGUGAUAAGUGCAAGUAUAUGUAUGUGUAUACUCAUGAGCAAUGUGUUCGGUACGUGAUGAAAAUGUGGUAAAGUUGCAAAGAAGUGAAGUGAUAAAGUCUUGUAUCAUGCAUGCAAGUUGAAUUAUGUUAUUGAAUGUUGAGCAUAUUGUUAUGAUGUUUCAUGAAAGAGUGAAAUUUGAAAUAAAACAGUUUUUGACAACAACAGUUGUGUGAUUUUAAAAUAUCACCAAAAAUGGUGGAAAUUGAAUUAGAGGUUGAAUGAGAUGUGAAAUUAAAACUUAUUGGAUCUAAUUUCACAUAAAAGAAACAGAGUAGGCAAAAGAAUUUCAUAUUAUGAGAUAUUUUAAUUUUAGUGAGACAGAGUCAGAAUGAUUUUGGAAUCCCCUGUUCUAACUUUGGAAAAUUAUUAAAAAUUUUACAAAAAUAGUUAUGGCUUAGAAUUUAUAUGUUUAAAAUCCUAAAUGAGUUUAUUUUCAAGAGACAUAAAUGGGAACAUCAUCCAAAUUCUGUACGGGAAGAUAAUUAAUUUUUAGUGCAGAAAGGUUGAAACUGUCAAACAGCAGAAUAGGGGAAUUUUAAAGAAUAAAUUGUACUUAUUAGCGAGUCUAGUUUCAGGGAAAAUUUGUGAAACUUAAUUUGGAGUUUUGUAACUUACGAUAUAAAUAAUUUAGUGACUAUAACUUGAGUAGACAGUUAUAUACGAACUUGAGUAAAUAUUGGAACUUUGUGCUUUUAUGAUUGUAUUAUUUGGAGAACAUAUUGUGAACAUUGAUAAAAGCAUAUUAAUAAAUUGUUUAUUAUUUAUAUAUUAACUUACUAAGCUUUAUAGCUUACUCAUUUUCCUUUCUCUCAUCUUAUAGGUUUAUAUAGCUAGCUCGGGUUGGAGAUUGCCGAAGAUGCUAUCACACUAUCAAAUUAUCAUUUGGGUAUAAGUGAAUGCAAGUAUUUUAAGCUUAUGGCAUGUAUAGGGACUUUGUCUUUUGAAUUUUUUUGUCAUUGUUAAUGAGGCCAAAUGUGUUGGCCUAAUAUAGUUUAUGGUUCAAUUGGUAUACAACUAUGAAUGAUGGCUUAUGUUGAUUAUAAGCUUAUGCAUAUGUUAAUGCCUUGUGUGAAUGUGAAGCUAAUAUUUUUUUUAUAAUGAUCUAAAUAGGAUGAUUAAGACAAAUGAUGAUAUGAGGAUGAUAUGUUAUUAUCUUAUUUAUGGUCAUUUGCUUGCCUAAGUAUGCUAUGUGUGACCACACGGCCUACCCACAUGGGCAUGUCUCAAACCACACGGGCGUGUGGCCCUGUUUCAUGAUGAAAUUUUCUAAGUUUCCUAAAAGACCUCAAAGUUCUCUGUUUAGUCCCGAACUACUUCCAAUGUAUGUUUUGGGCCCGUGUAAGGGACGAUAUGAUUAUUUUUGAAUGGUUUUAAUGUAGAUUAAUUUUCAUGACUCGGAAUAGUAUGAUUUCUUGUGUUUAAGUCCUGUAACGCCUCAAACUCUGUUCAAGCAUUGAAUACGGGUAAGGGGUGUUACAAAAAUUCUUGCACACGAGGAAUAACAGUGUAACACCUUAUACCCGGCCUGGUUGCCAAGCCUAAAUAUCAGGAUUCCACACCAUUGUCUUAUGUCGUUCUCAUAAUAAAUUGACACAUUAUUAAGAAAUCAUCCUCUUUAUCAUUGGUCUUAUAAAUUUUUAGUCAAACAUAUAUCAAUUAUCAUUAGCACAUGCCGAACAUACUUUAAAUAAUCUUGUAAUAAUAAUUAAACAUGCAUAAGGUCUGUUUAGCAAAAUCUCAAAAUUGACCACGUAGGUAUCGAUAUUGAAGGUGAGAUAUAGAUAAUUCUCCCAAGUGGUGUCGAUAUCGCUUGAAAAAUCGGUACCAAAACUGCUUAUUGUUUCUUGUUUAAAAAACCAAACCUCGAAAAUUAUCGGUACCUUUGCCAAAGUAUUGAUAUUUCUAUCCCGAGUAUCGCUUGGAAACCACACCGCUUACACUGACACACUACUAAUCUACAAUGGUUUAAGAUGGGAGUGGGUGAGCUUAACAAGCUCAGUGAAUGCCUAGAACAACUACCAUGCAAGUAAUUCAUCAAGCAUCAAUGAAACAACUAUGUAGAACAACCUCAACAGUUCCAACACUAGUAUCAUAAUAUACUUAGUCGUGCAUUAUUACUAGUUCAUUUUGAUGGUAAUCAUAUUCACUUUUAAGCAUAUAUCACAUUACACAUAUAAUCACAUAACAUUUAAGCAAAUAUCACAAUACUCAUAUAAUCACAUAAAAUUUAAGCAUAUAUCACAAUACUCAUAUAAUCACAUAACAUUCAAGUAUAUAUCACAAUACACAUAACAUGUUUAUAGAUAAAUUGUAUAAUGGUCACAUGUACUAUAAACACACAUCACAAUACACACAUAUUCAUAAUUUAAGAUAAUUUGACACUUGAACUAUGAAACAUAAAAGUGAGCUCUAUCAUCACUCAUCGAGUACAUGAAUCUCCAACACACCACAUAGACUCAUAGAGUUAAACAUGUCCUAAAAUUGAAGCAUAAAACUAACACUCUCUUUAUUUCCCCUCACAUGUCUCGUUGAAUGGAGCUUAGCUCACAUUCCCUUAUUCUUCCAAGUGUGAAUGCCCAAAAUCACUGUACAUAUAGGUGAGUACUCACAAUCCUAUGGAAUGCCAACUAUAUCCAAUGGUUUCAAGAUCACAAGGCCAAAAUAUCCAAAACAAACAUAUAUCAAUUACCAAUUAUCCGUGCACUAUCACUGCAUAUUUGCAUUUUUAGCAAAACACUAUCACUAACAUUUAUCAUAUACAUAACAUGUACACAGUUGCACUUUCACAAUAGUUAUCAUAUCCACAUAUCACAUGCUAUAGCAUCUCAUCCAAAUUCAAAUAUUCACAUUCGCAUAAGUACAUAAUUCAUAAGAUAAACAUAAUUAUGAGAAAACUUACACUCAGAAUUUAGAGUAAGGGUUUAGGCUACUACUAAAUUUCCAAAUAGCGCAUUGAAUCAUGUCCACAAAUAAUUAUUCCAAACACUCACCAAUACACUUUCACCGAAAUACCAAAAGUUGAAACUAGUUUUUCCUUGCCUUUAUCUCUACUCGUAGAAGGUCCUAUCGAUUCCAAUGCUUCAACAAAGUAAAUCACACAACAACAUAAUGAACAAUCAGCCAAAGACUCACAUCAAACAAUCCAAACACACAAUCCUAAGCUAGGUUCUCUUUUGACCGAAACCUUCGACAUAGAAAACUUAAAAUUCGAAUAUCACCGGCUAUACUUAAUCUUUUUGCCUAAAACCAAUUCCGUUCACCUUAUAACUCGACCAUGGCUAAUGGCUAAUUCCAAACCUUUAAACUACGCAAAACUACUCAAUUCAUAGUAUCGACUUUUCCAACAUGUCUUAUGGCUAUUUUUUGAAAAUUCAUUAAAAUUCAUGAAAUCUUUAAUGAAACUUCAAAGUAAGUUUAGAAACCUUCUAAAUACAUCAAAACUAAUUGAAAAACACUUUGAAAACAUGUUUUUACUCAAAAUCUCGAAAUCCAUCAUUAACCACCCAAUUUUUUACUUCAAAAGAUGUGAUUUAAUGGCUAAUAUUUCAAUUUAAAGGACUAAAUAACAUUUAAAACUAACUAGAAGUUGAAUCGCUACCUUAGAUGAUGAAAAUCUAAGUGUUUGAUCGAAAAUCUGAAAGCUUGAUAAUGGAGAAAUCAAUAGUGUUUUCGGGUGUUUUUCUUAACUUCUAUGGAGGUUUAUGACUAGGAGGAUGAUAGAAAUCAAAAGAAUAGAGUUUAGGAAUCAAAAUCGAUUGAGAGAGGCUUCUUCAAACAAGGGACGAUAGCACACAAUAUUGGGGAAGAGACUAACGUAAAAUUUAUAGGUGGGAGAUGAUUUGAGGUUGAUUUUUAAAUUUUGGCUUAAUUUCCUCUUAAAAACUCACAAUUUUGACUCUUUUACAAAUCAGUUCUUUUUCUAAAAUUAAAGGUUUCUAAAACACUUUUUCAAAAAUUGAUUUGACCUUUGAAAAACCAUAAUAAAAAAAACAUUACCGAUAUACCAUGUCGCAAAAUUUCGAACACUCUAAGGCUAAAAUUCCUAAAAUACCCUUGAAACUCCUAGGCCCUAUUUUGGGGUGUUACAACUCUCCCCUCUAAAAAGAAUUUCGUCCUUGAAAUUUUACCUACUGACACUUCACUUGCUUAAUAACAAAAUAUGCUACUUCUACUUUUAAACUAACUAUCACACUUUCGCUGCGCACUCUGAUUCCUAUUAUCUCUAACUUACUAUUUUUCUUAAUGAUUCUAUUCAUUACCACACACUAUUCUACACUAACUUUCCGAACAAUUCCCUUUACUCACUACAACACUCUCGUCUAAAGGACUCGUAACCAUUUUUCCAAAUUCACUAGUCUCUAUCAGGAUUCUCUACUUAUUAGCUAAUUCACUUAAAUUUUAUGAAGGCAUAAAACCUAAUUCUAUUAACGAGAAUAAAAUAUGUGAUUACAAGGAAAAAAUACCCUCAAUCUCAACAUUCGAAUCUUGAUCCUUUGGUUCCUUAAUUGCAUAAACCCAAGCUAGACCUCUAGACUCAACCCGCGUGGCAAAAGUAUGAUUAACAACUCACUAUCCAUUCGAUCUCCCAUUACUUCUACCAUGACCACGACCUCUAGCAGGUGUAGAUAGUAGCGCAAAACUCUGAGUCUGUGAGACCUUAAAUCUGUUUAGGAAAUCCCUCAGAAAAUGUUCUUUCAAACCACACUUAAAACAACCACUUGACAAUUGAUGGCACUCAACUGAAUGCCUACGCUCACCAUGUACAAAAAGUGGCCAUCCAAAACCACCCGUUGAACCACCAAUACCUACUACAAUGCUAUCUUGCUACACAAAGCUGCCAUCCAAAACCACUCGUCGAACCACCAGUACUGAGAUGCCAACAAAAUUCAAUUAGGCAAUCAUGUUAUUGGUUGCCAACAUGUGGAGCUACCGGGAUUGCACCCGCAUUAAAUGUUUCUAACAUUAAUAUCUUUCGAACUAUUUUGUUAUAUGGCAUUUUGCAGAGUAAACAUAUUUGUGCAGGACGGUGGAUUGUCAAAGAAAUGAAACGCUAUGUUUAAAGCCAAAAAAUUGGACUUUACUUCCCUCAUUUAGUGACAGUAUUAUGUAGAAAAGCCAAAGUUCCAAAAAGCGAGAGCAAACAAUUCAUGAAGCCAACAAAGUGCAUAAUUAGCGACACAUUAUAUAGGCAAUAUGCUGAAAUUCAACGAAAGAAAAUAACAGAAUGGAACCAACGGAGAAAAGAAAAGAUGGAUGUUUCGGUAUCGCUCAAAAGGAAAGAGAAGACCAUGGUUCGAAGAGGAAGUAGAGGGAACAUGAAGGAGAAGUUGGAUGGGAUGAUUCGGUGGAUGUAGGAAAAAGUCCCGUGCUCUAAGAAUUUACAAAGAUGAACGGGUUACGCACUCUGAAUUGUCCCCCAGAUAUGUUUAGGGUGACUCCAACUCACUUGGAUGAGGGGGCUAUUCUUUAGGAGGAAGGUGCUGCUCGGUAGUAUCUUAGAAUGAAGGAUGAAUACGAAGCGACAUUUCAGUUGCAAUUUUCUAAAGUAAAUGGGCCUGCCAUACAAAGCCUAACUCACCUUGCGCCUUCAACGGGUGAGAGCUCUCACCAAACACAUGUCAAAGGAAAGGGCAAAGCUCCAAUGGAUAUUAGACGAUCACCAUAUUGGGAUGAGGAGGCGAAUGGCUGAGCAUUUUUUUUCGAAAGACUUGUAUUAAUGAUUCUAAUUUAGACUUUGUAGGAGUAUGAUUAAUAAGUAAUUUUUUUUAAUUCUGCUGCAUUUUGCGUUUAAGUUUUCCAUGUAGGAAUCCAACAUGAAGGUGACACAAAUAGUUCAAACUUUAUAUGAGCAAAGGAGGAAGCAACCACUAAUAAGUGCUGAAGCGACCACGAUCAAUCGGGUAACUUCCUUCCUUAUCUUUUUAAGGGCUACACAUUGAGGACAAUGUGUCAACUAAAGUGUGGGGGUAACAAAAUUUUUUUUAAAAUUUUUUCAUUGAUUUUCCUUGUCUUUUGUGUGCUUGAGCUUGUAGAAACACAAGUGAUUAGUUAUGAGUAUGUACAUAGGUUGCUUAUGUUUAUGAAUAAAUUUAGAAUGAUGAUAGGGUAUUUUAAAUUUUUUGUUAUUAGACUACUAAUGUUCUAUAUGUUACAUUGUAAAUAGGCAUUAAGUAAUCAACUGUACCAAGUAAUAUAGAAAAUAAAAGGAAACAAGUAUGCUAGUAUGAAUGAUAAAUGGUUGAAUUUGAGUUUGUUUGGUUGACAAAAUUUGUGCAUGUUGAGAUAUUUAGGGAUGACCUAAGGCAUUGUUUGGAACUCAUCCAAAGUGAAAAAUUCAACCUAUUAAUGUUCACCUUUAGUACAAAUUUUUGAGCCUAUUGACACUUCUUAAUAAACCUUAUUACAAACCUCAAGCCUAAAAAUGUUAAUUUGUAUUUGCCUUUUUUUGUUUGGUCCUGCAUUGCACGAUUAUAAAUGUCUAGCCAUACGUAUUGAAGGUUAAGAAGAUAGAUUAAGGCAGAGUUUAUAAAAACAGAGUGAAAUAGGAAGGAUUAGUGUGAUAUGGGGACUAUAGGUUAGCAUGAAAAGUGCAAAAUAAAAGAAAAUUCUGAAAAAAAAAAACAAAAGUAACACAAGUAGAAAAAGUUCUCAAAAAAUAAAAAGCAUUCUUGAGUGAGAUGAGCUGAAAAAGAAAGCGAUAAAGUCACAAAAGAAAAAGAAACUCAUUCAUUAGUGCACAGAAACUCGUAGGCUAGCUAUAGUUACUAUGUCUCUCUAUGAUUUUCUCUACAUGGAGAGACAAGGAAGGUGAGGGAAGGAGAAAUAAGGCAGUGAGUGGGUAAGUUUCACUAAGGGGGAAGAAUAGGGAUCAAUACAAUAUGCCAAACUAUUUUUAUGUUUGUAACCCUUUUGAUGCUCACUAUUUUUGAAUUCCAUACCUAUCUUAAGCCUCAAAACGCUACAACCUGAAAUGUCCUAUGUGACCUAAUAUCCUUAUACAUGAAUGGACAUCAUACUGAACAUAUGCAUAAAGUGACUAUUUGUAUUCUACUUGGAUAAUCAAAGUACUCGUAAGAUUUAUUGAUGGAGCCCUACAGGUGAGACCCUCAAUGCUUGUAUAUUUUGUAAUAUACUGAACUUGGAUGUUUGUGAUCAAAACUGGUAAGUCAAUUAUUCAUCUUGUUAAAGUUGUUAGUAAGCAUAAUAUGCCUAAGUCAUAUGUUGCGACUUCAAUACCUGUAUCAUAUUCACUUAAGGGUCAUCAUUUUUAUUUGUAAUUUUUUAUGUUGCUUGAGGACAAGUAAUGACUUAAGUGUGGGGGAGUUUGAUUUGCUCUAAUUUGGUGCAGUAGAUUAAAAUAGUUUUCACAUUUAAGGAGCUUGAAUACAAGAAUUUUUGUGAUGUUUAAUUUAAGGUUUCUUAGUUUUAUUUAUAUUCAAUAAAAUGUACAAACUGAGUCUUUUAUUGACCUUAGCGGCCGAAUGAAGCCUAAGGGAGAGCUAACACACUUUGUAAGUGUGCAGGAGACUUUUAGAAGUAGUAUUAAACCGAUACUAGUUGAUAUGUCACCAUACAGGAUGUUCGAUGUCGCAACAUAGGGAGUAGAAUAGAGAAAGUUGAAGACUGCCUUCGAUUUCGUGACACAGGCUGAGGGUGUCGUGACAUACCCCUGCAAAUAGCUGAAGAGGAGUAUAUUGAUUGCUAUUUCACGACACAGGCCCCUAUAUGUCGAGACAUCGACUCUGUGAUGAAAAUUAAACAUGAACCAAGAGCGUUUUGGUCUGCACAAUCAAACUUAAAUCUCGGGAGCAUCAACUAACCUAGGGUUAAGGACGACGACCACCUGAAGGCUAUAAAUAGGAUCAUUUGUCACUUGUUAUGGACACCAUUCCUUUAGCUUAGAUUCUCUAUGCAAAAUUUAGUUUAGUAUUUUCUUUCAUUCAUAGGUUUCAAAUUUAUUUUAAUUGUUCUUGUUGAUUUUAAGAGAUCUGAAUUGUAGAAGCAUUUGAACUUUGUGGAUUCACGAUUAAUCUCAAUACAAUCAGGCUAUUUCAUUUAAUCUAUCUUGUCGAUUUAAUUAGCAUGGUUUCUCUUUACAUCGAUUAUAUAUUUGCUAUGAAAACCUUGAGGAACUAAUCCUCUAUGGGGGAUUAGGGAGUGGAGGUAUGAUCUGUUAACUGUUUUGUAGGCUUACUUCACAGAUCAGCUGUUUGGGAAAGGAAGAAUGUGAAACAAACCCUAGGCUUGACAACCCCGGGAAGUCAUCAAGGUGGGAAUUAACCCAAAAUUGGUAUGACCCAUCUAUGAACACCUUUACCCCAAGCCAGUUUGGAAUAUGAGGUCUGAAGAUAAGUAGUUCUUGCUGACUCGUUAUGUUAGUAGAAGAUCGUAAGAUCCUGCUAGGAUAGCGACUAGUUGAUUGGCAAGGAACACGAAACAACAGUUGAUGGAGAUUAUCGAAGUGAGCCAAUCACCCAUAAUUAAGAUUUGAUUUAUUCUCCAUUUUCUAUCUCUGGAAGUCAAUUUCGUUUAUGUUACUUUGCCUUUAUUAUUAUAGAAACCCUAAAAAGCUUUUUCUUUAUAUUUUCGUACUAUAAAUAAUUUAAAAGUAUUAAUUAGAUAUUUUAGUGUUUAGUUUAUAAUUAGUCUGGCAUUUACUUCCUUUAGGUACAAUCCUCGGAGUACUCACCUACUUCAUUGUAAACCUAUAUUACAACUCGACCCGUAUACUUGUGGAAACCGCCUUGUUUUUUUAUAUUUUAUUGUAUUAUUCACACUUUGGACGUUAGCAUGUUCGGAGGCGGUCACUGAUCUUGUUGGUGACCACAUUUAAAAAUUUCAGUUUCACCAUUAAUCUUCAUGGUUAAUUCAUUUUUUCCAGGUUAAUGGUGGAUUUUGACGUUACGAAGAAUGGUCUGCCUAACAAGAUGGGUAUCUCACGAUCUUCUUCAAAAUUGAGCAUUACAAAAUCUACUGGGAUGAUGAAGCUAUGCACUUUGACUAACACAUCUUCCGAUACUUCUUUUGGAUGUAUGGAAGAUUUGUUUGCCAAUUGUAAUGUGAUUAAAGUGUUCUUGAGGUCCCCAAACUCGAGUUUUUUGGAUAUAGAUAAAGGCAUUAGAUUUAUACUAGCUUCCAAAUCACAUAAAGCUUUACUAAAAUGAAUAUCCCCUAGCUCCAAAAUCAUAUAAAACUUCUCAGAUCUUUUAGUUUUUAUGGAACCCGUCUAGAUAUAUCACACUAUAUGAGGUGUUUAUAUUAACUUGCUUUCAUGUUUUAAUUUUCCUACACCUAAUCAUAGUUUCUUUUAAGAAUUUAGCAUAUUUAGGGACUUUUUUGAUUAAAUCAAUAAGAGGCAAGUUAACAUUUAGAAUUUUCAAUAAGUUCAAGAAACUUACAAAUUCAUCUUCAUCCCAACUUUGUUUUUCCUCCAACCGUGAAGGGAAUGGUAUUGUUGUCAUUGCAAGUUUUUCGAUGGACUUAUCUUUCGGCUCAACUGCUGAUUUGGUUAUCUCCUUUGGUUCUGGUUAUUCGUCAACUUGUUGGGGGCUUCUCGAAGAUUUUCAACAUUCUCUUUGGUUCCCUCGUGUGUCAGGGUAUCUAGGCUACUCAGUAUUUUGUCCGAACUGCGCAUAAUUGCUUUCACAUGCUCUUUCCCUUCCUUCAAGGAUUAUCUUUAGUAUUACUAGGAAUGUCAAUGUAAAUUUGUAUCUUAAUAUCUCCCAUCAUACUCAUCAAUUGUCUUAUCUAACCUUCUAGUUUAGUCAAUGUUUUUGCAGAAUUGGUGCACUUAGAUUGCACCUGUUUCACGUUUGUCCUCGUUGACUACAUUUCCCUAUCAAUUCGUUCCAAGCAUUGACCACAUACAAUAUGGUCAUUUUGGUUUGCCCUAUCCUAAGGCUUUUGUAAUUAAGGAGGUUGAUAAUUAGCAUUUUUAACUUGGUUAAGAUUAUUACCUCCUCCCUGGUUUCCGCCCCAUCUCAGGUUUAAGUGAUCUCUCCAUAUGGGAUUAUAAGUAUUUGAAUAAAGAUUUCCACCCCUAUUCUCGGUGUAAUUCACACCCUCAGUAGAAUUAUUAAUGUAAUGGAAUAGAGGUUUUUCUCCCCCAUAUAUAAAUGAUGCACUGAAUGAAGAUUCUAUACAGUUUAACCUAUCCACCGUCUGUUGGUAUAUAUCAUCAUUUUAAAUCGCUUUGACUGUAGAUGGCUUUUGGUCGUAUGUGUAACGUUCAGUUGGCUACUGGUAGGAAUUCAUCGCCAUGUUCUCUAUUAAUUCAUAUGCAUUAUCAUCUGUCCUAUUCAUUAAGGCUCCUUUUGUGGCUUCAUCCAAUCUUAGUCGUGUGUGUGCAUCCAACCUGUUAUAGAACAUUUGCAACCUAUGGUGUAGGCAUCUCUAAAUUAACGUUUCAAAAUGCUUAUAGGCUUCGUGAAAACUUUCUCCUUCCAAUUGUUUAAACGUUGCAAUCUCUCUCCUUAGUUGGAUCGUUUUGCUGAUAUGGAAGAACUUCUGUAAGAAUUUUCCUGUAAGUUCAUCCCAUGUCGUAAUAAAUGCUGGUGCUUGUGAAUCUAUCCAAGAGAAAGCUUUAUCUAUUAAGGAGAAGGGGAACAACCAGAUACAAAUAGCGCCAUCGGUGACCUUGUUGUAUUUAAAUGUAUUACAAAGUUGAAGGAACCAUUUUAAAUACUGAUUUGGGUCAUUCGUCAUUGUGACUCUAAACUGCAAAUUGUUCUGGAUCAUCUGAAUCAUUGCUAUUUUGAUCUCAAAAUUAUUAGCUGUGAUGGCUGGCCUUGUUUUGCUUCCUUGAACCAUCUCCAGACUUCGUAGCGCAUAAUUCCUUAGGGUUCUUUUGUUGUGUCAUAUGUAUAUUAGCGAGUAACUGUGGUGGUGGUAGAUCUUCUGAGUUAUUAUUGUUAACUUCAUCAAACAACGAAUUAUCUCGUGGUAGUAAAUUACCUAUAGUAGGUGACGAUUCUUACGAAUUAUUCUUUCUGCAUCUGUGGUUGGGUCUAUACGUGUUCCCCUACUACGAGUCGUACACUAAACCCAAAGAAAGAAAUAAAGAAGUUAGCAAACAUAAGAGAAUAAAAUUUUAUCUAUAAUUUAGGAAUUUCCUAAUUAUUCUAUUAACUACACAAAUUAAAAUCAAUCUAUUGAUGCUGCCUCCCCGGCAAUAGCAUCAACAACUUGAUUGCCUUCGGACGUAAGAAUGUUUGAAGUAUAAAUCCUGCACAAAAUAUGUUAAAUAGGUGGUAUCCGUAAGUAUAUAGGUCAUGUUGUAAUAUAGUUACAACGAAGUAGGUAAGUACUCCGAGGAUCAUACCCAAAGGAGGAGAGCACUAAAUUAAUUCAAACUUAAACAAAAGUAAUUUUAAUUAGUACUUUAAAAAAUUAUAUUACGACUAAACAUAAAGAAAGAGUUUUUUAAUAGCUAAAGAAAUAAAAUAAUAUAAAUUGAAAACGUAGGGAAAUUUGCUAUGGAAACUUAAUCAGAUCUGAGCAUGGGUGACUAGCUCGCCUCGAUAAUCAUAACUAACUAUUGCUUUGAUUUUCCUAUUCAAUCAACUAGUCGUUACCCUAGCUGGAUCUCUCAAUCUUCCACUAGAGCAAGAACUACUUAUCUCUUGACCUCACGGGUCCAGACUAGUUAGUGGUUAAGGUGUUCACGGAUAAACCGUACCAAUUUUGGGUUAAUUCCCACCUAAAUGGCUUCCUAAGGUCGUCAAACCUGGGGUUUAAAUUCUUACUUUCCCAAACAAUUGAUCCACUUAAGAAAGCCCUACACAACAAUCAAUUAAUCAUACCUCCAUUCACUAAUCCCCCACAAGAGGAUUAGUUCCUCAGGGAUAUUGAAAACAUAAUAAACUUGAUGUAAAAGAUGAACAUUAAUAAUAAAAAAAUCAACAGAUUAAGGUUUAAAAGAAGCCUGAGUUGUAUUUAAAUGAAGCACGAAAUCCACAAAAAUUUGAUCAAGAUCCAAAAAUCAAAUCUCCCAACAAAUGUAAAACUGAAAGUAUCUUAAAGUCUAAGAAAAGAGAAAUACUAAAAAUUGAAAUUAUGAGGAAAAUUAUACAAUAUGAAAAGCUGUCUCCAACAAGUGUUAAAUGAGCCUAUUUAUAGAGUUAGGGUUGUCGUCAUCCUCAAACCUAGGUCAGAAGACGCUCUCGUGUUUAAUAUUUGAAUGUGCAGACCAAAAUGCCCCCGUUUCUUAAGUAUUUCUCAUACAAGAUUAGUGUUGCGACAUCGAAGGCAGUAUGUUCGUACUGAGGGGUGUGUCACGACAUCCCUUGGUAGUGUCGAGACACUGAAGGCGGUCUUGGAAUUCUUGCUCUUUACUCCCUAUGUUGCGACACAGUGACCAGUAUUGAGUUGGCACUCCUUCUAAUGGUCUCCUGCAUACUCACAAAGUAUUUUAGCUCACCCCUAGGCUUCAUUCAGCCCCUAAGUCAAUAAAAUAUUCAAAUUACACUUUUUAUUAAAUAUAAAUGAAUUUUAGGAAACUUAAUUAAAACAUAAUAAAAUGCUUGUAUCCAAGCUCCUCAAGUGCCAAAACUAGUUUAAUCUACUACAUUGAAUUACAACAGAAAAGACACACUUAGGGGAGAAAAUCAAGGAUUCCCUUGUUAAAAAUAACAAUAGAGGUUGGGAGUUAGAGGCUAUAAAAUGAGGCUUCAUUUUCAUUCAUGACACAUCAUUGAGCACACAACAUUCGACAUCAUUUUUCUACUAAGUGUUCUUACCUUUCUCAUAGCUUGCUAAACACUUGAUUCCAUAAAUUAAGACAACACUUGCUGAAAUAAGAGUAGCUGGGAAGGAUGACUUGAAGGCAUUUACAUGAUUUAUCAUAAAGACAAGGAAGAGAGCUACCAUGGGAAGCCAUAAGGAGAGUCACAUAUAACCUCCUGCAGUCAACUGUUUCCUCUUCUUAUUGUGAAAUGGUUGUGGAUAAACCCUUCGACUACUCUUUCUUUCCUAUCUAUUUACUGUUAAUUAUUGUUUUAUGUGUCGAAAGAUAAGAGUACAUCUCAUCUUUAUGUUUUCACAUGACUUAAUUUUUUUAUUCAGAAUGAAUAUGAAUCUUGAUUUUAGUUAACUCGUUUUUGUUUUUUGAGUAUUUUGUGCAAAUGAUUAUUUUAUUCAUUUAGAUUUGAUUCAUGAUUAUACUUGUAAAUGUGUGACCAACAUUUGUAGGUUAAUGAAUUAAUUGUUUAAUCUGAGAAGAGGUAAUAGUUAGUUUACAAAAGACCUAAAUAGUGCAUAUCAUGUUGAUAUCAAAAGAUGAUUAUUGUAUGCAUAAACUGUGUAAAUGCCCUAUAGGGUGAUUUCUAGGUUAGUUUUGACAUAGACAUAUGCUGAUUAACUUAGGGAUAUAAUAGUACUUCUGAAGAAGCUUAUGAAUUAAUUAAGAUAGGGUUUAAUGAAUUUUAAUAUUGCCAUGAUCCUUUCAUGAUAUUCUUUUUAUAAAAGCCAAUAAACUCUUGUUAAGUGAAAUAUUUAUUUUAGUCUAUUCAUGUUUUUUUAUAUUAAAUCUUGUAUUUAUCUCGCCGUUGUGAUUAUUUGUCUGUAAGAUGUGUUGUUUUGUAGGUAUUUUACUUCUGAUUACAUUCCUUAACUUAAAUUUUGACUCUCAUCUGUAAUAUUCUUUUUUAUUUGUUUUCUUCCAAAUGGAUUAUAGCUGAAUUUACAAAUAAUUUACACAACAGUCAUUGUGGAGACGAUACUCUUUACUUACUACUACUUAUUAAUUGUACAAUUGUGUACACUUGCACGUAAUCAUGCAAUACACUCAUACCCGGAUUCAAUGUUCGGGUCGAGUAAAGGUGUUAAAGAAGGUUUGCAACAAGUCAAUUAGUUCAUCGAUUGUUAAACUUUCAUGAUCCAUAGCCUCCUCUAUAGUAGUGACCUUGAUGGAGAAUUUUUCUAGAAGAGAUCUUAAAACCUUCCUAAUCAAUUUAGUGUUGGAAUAGUCUUCCCGCAGAGCAAUUGCCUGGUUUGACAGAUCAUAGAGUUUUGAAUAAAACUCACUUUGUAACACACCAAACCUAGCCUAGAUGUUACGAUCGAAUCUUGAGAAAUUACAUAGACUCGCUUUAAACUCUAAUUUUUUGAACUCGAAAACAUGUGCCUUUCCAACAUUAAUUUUGGUAAAUCACUUUCCAGGUUUUAGAAAAGUACUCGUUAAAACUAUUUAUUUCAUUACAGAAAAACACUUAAGUGAUUAAUUUAUUUUGUAGUGAAAAUUUCUAGGUUAUUAAAUUUUUGAAAAUCAUGAUUUAUAAAAACCAAUAAUUUUUCGGUUUAAAAAUAAUAAUUACUAAAUCAACAAAGGAAAAUAAAAAAAAACAAAGUCCCACAAUAGUUUAUAGACCAAAAAGCCCAAAAAAAUAUAGAAUAGUUUGAAACAUAAAGCGUCUUAUUAUUAACAAAAAAGCACUCCGAGCUCCUAUGCGCUGCCCGAUCCUAGAUUUGCUGAUUACAUGAGAAGUCAAAAAUAAAGGGUGAGCUAACAAGCUUAGUGUGUAACUUAGCCCAUAAAAGCAUAACAUAUAGCACAAUUCACACAGAAGUCAGAUACUGAACAAAAUACACAACAUGGCAUAUGAUACAAUGUAACAUAAUUAUCAGAUCAGAUAUGGAUGGCAUGGCAUAUCAUGCGAUGCAACACUUAAUACAAAACAAAUAUAAAUUCUACCCCUAUCCACUACACACCAUCUAUGUCCAUCCCUACACACCAAUUAGGGUAAUAAAUACUUAUUCAACCCUUACACACCUAUGAGUGAACGUAUGUCACUUUUCAGAAUAGUGUAAUCAAGUUACCAAAAAUAGUGUGGUAAUCUGCCAUAAUUAGAUAAAUGUGGUCAAGUCACAAUAAUAUAUAUGUGGUUAAAACCACCACAUAAGGAAGAUCAUUAAACUGUCAACACUUCCUCCAUCACAUCAUUAUCCCACCCCAACGCACAUGUAAACACUAACUAGACAAUCAGGUACACAUAUAUCAUACAUGUUUUACACAUCAAUACAUGCUAACAUGCUUGUAGAAGUCAUACAUUCAGAACUAGAAUAUCAUAUUUCAAGUAUCAAAAUCGUAUUUAUCGCCUAACAAACCCUACGAAAUAGUUAACCUCAAUACCAACUUCAAAUUACAGCCAUAAUUAGAGUUUUCUAAAAAUGGGCCCACACACUCUUGUGGCCUAUACGACCUACUUGGACCAGCCCGUGCGGCCCACACGAUCUGGCACACAGCCUAAUAAAUGCCCAUGUGGCUUACACGGCCUACUUAACCUAGUCCGUGAGGCCCACACGGCCUGACAUAUAGUUGUGUGAGUGUAACAUCAACAGUGGGUUUCUUAGUUUCACAAUGUUCAUUGGUUUUUACGAGUUCAAGUCACACAGUUGGUCACUUUUUUAUGCCAACACAACAACCAUAAUUCCAGCACCUAAAAAUGACAUUCAGCUUAAUGAAUUAGCAAAUAAAACGAGAAUCGAUUAAGAGGAAAUGAAUUUUGUUUCCUAAAAUUUUAGCCAAAACAAUAGGGCAUUUGACUCUAACAACCAAAAUAUCCCCUAAUUGGGCAUUCGAUUACUUACUCUUGACAGAACAACAACUUCCAAUAGAAUCUAGAUCGCUAGAGGUUCAGACGUCUCAUGAUCUUCACCUAGAAAACCAAACACAGUUAAAAAGCAAAGUUCAUAGAAGACAAAAAUGUCAAUUGUGCACAAGAAAAACUAAAAACUUUAUCAUUGGAAAAACAACAAUACUUAAACUAAGAUUUAAUUACGACCAACUCUAUUGAAACACCACACAAACAAUCGCAAAAAGAGACAACAGUACAAAAAGGAAAAAAACAAUGGCAGAAAGGAAAAUAAUAGAAGAACAAGAAGAAAAGAGAAGGAAAAAAUUAACGUAAGAGGAAGAAUGGAAAAGUGGGAAGGUAAGUUGGGAGAGAGAGGGAAAGUAGGAUAGAUUUUCGGGGAGGAAUUAUCUCAAAAAAUUAAAUAAAAUUUAAAAACAAAAUCCUAAACUACCAGAUUUUUUGCUAACUUAACAAUUUAAGUAGAGUUUGAAUUUGGCCCAAUUACUAACCACAUGGGUAGCACAGACAGGAAAUAGUAAGAAGAAUCUCAUUUUUGCAUACAUAGGAUUAGAACACGAGACCUCUGGGUAAGCUAAAGCCUUACCACUGAACUAGUAGACUCAUUCUUGCUAACAGUUGAGCAAAAUUAAUGUAUAAGCCAGAAAUUCAAAUAUAGGGGCUGGAAUAAAAAUAAAUAAAAUUCAAGGGAAAGGAUUCGAACAAAGGAGCUUAGGCAUAUAAAUAGAACUCUCAACCACCAGAAUAGAUUAAUUUACUUGACAUAAUUUAACAAUUCCAAAAAUAAAAAUUUUGGUGAGUUAUGUACUUAUGGUUUCAGCUUCUUGCACUUCUACAAGCAUUUUGAUAACACAAAACAAAAUAGGGGACAGUCCUAAAAUUGUGAUACUAUAAAAAUAGUAAUAAAUCAAGAUGAUUUACAAUUGAUUUCUCGAUAAAGUAAAAUAAGGAAAUGAAAGUGAUAAAAGAUAAGAUUGAAAGUAUGUUGUGGUAUACUAAAGUAAAGUAAGGACUAAAUCGCAAAGAUGUAAAAAAUUUUAAGGUUCAAGUACAAUAAUUUGAAAUUUGAAGGGUUGAGCAUAAAUAUGAGAAAGUUGAACGACCAAAAGUGAAAAUAACCCAAUUUCUUAUAACAAUAGAUUGGUGUGCAGGGAUCAAAUUGAAUAAGUGGAGAAAUAAAAUGGACUAAAUUAAAAUUUUACCAAAAGUGAAUAGUGAUUCAAGGAUGGAAUUUUGAAGAAAAAGGGUAAAAUGGUCAUUACCUAGAUUAGAUAAUUAUAUGGUGUAAUAAAUAAGGAAGAAAAGUAUUGAAAUAUGAUUGAUUGAAUAUUUUAUAAGAUAUUUAUUAAUAUUUUAUUUAAUUAAAAUUAGUAUAAAAAGAAAGAAAGAUAAAUAAAAUUCUUCAUACUUUCACCAUGCUUCUAACGUCCAUGAAAGAGAGAAACAAAGAAAGAAAGUUUUGCUUUCUUUACAAUUUAGUUAUUUGUCAUCAAAAUUCACCUUUUUCACUCAAAAAUGUUAAAAAUUUUCAUAGCCAUCAAAAAGAAAAAGUAAAGUAGAGACACUGGAGAGUUAUAACAUCAUCUUGGAAGAAAGAAAUUAGAAGUGAAAGUGGAGAAGUUGAGGAAAAGGUGUGGAGAUUAAAGAGACAAGGUAAGAAAUUGAAGCAUUUCUUAUAGAAUUUAUGUUUAAUUAAAGUAGAGACAUAAGAAAGUAAUUUUAGUAUGAGUUUUAAUUAUGUAUUUGAUAUGUUCAUGAAGUAGAAAAAAAGAGAAGAAAUUAUGGAAGUGUUAGAAACAAAGUGGAGAUGAUGACAAAAGUAAGGAAAAAAGAGAAUUAAAGGCAAAAUAGUGAAAUUCUAACAAAAGAAAGGUAAGUACUUCAAGAAUUUUACUUUGGUUUAAUUUUAAUCUAAGUAUGAAUUAUGUUAGAAUAGUUAAUCUGAAUUAAAAUAUGUUAAUAUUAUGUUUACAAAUUUUUAAUAAGUAGUGAAAAAUAUAGUUUGAAUUUUAAUUAUGUGAUGAAUUGUUUUGAUAUAUUGAAAUAAUAGUAAAAAUGACUAAAUUUUAAAGUGUACAAAAUUUUAUGUAUGAAUUAAAAUAUUAUCAUAGAGAGCUUAAAAGUGAUGUUAAGGUGAAAUGAUAAUAAAUAAUGAAUUUUCAUUAUGCUAAGGACUAAAUCAUAAACUUGCAAAAAUUAAAAUUUAAAUAAGAGAAGUAAAGUGAAGUGCAUAAAAAUACGAUAUGUGAAGUAAGAUAAUAUAAUGAAUUGUUUGAUUAAAGUGUUAUGAGAUAGUGAAAUUGAAUGAAAAGUGACAUUAGAAGGAUAAUUAUAAUAAGUAUUGAAUUUUUAUAAUAUUAAAGACUAGAUUGCAAGAUAUUUAGAAGUGAUUAAAAAUAUUAAAAACGUUAGAAAUAAUUAUUCAAAUGAAGUCCUACAUGGAAGAGAAUUGAUUUAAAAUGAUUAUGUAGUAAAAUAAAUAAAUAAAUUUCAUACUGAAAAUGACCAUAUUGUAAAAUAUACAAAAGUUAUUAAGGGUAUUAAGAUUUUGAAACAACAUAUUCAAGUUUAAAGGUAUAUGGAAGUGAAGUGAAUACUAAGAAAGAAUAUGGUGAUUAAUGAAAAUAUAUGCUGCCAGGGACUAAAUCAAAAAGAUUAUAAAGUAAGUGAUGUUUAUGCAAAGAAGACUAGAUAGCAAAGUAUCCAAAAAUAUGUGUAAAUAAGUAUUUAUAGAUAAUUUUAGUGAAGUGUUUAUGAUAGUGAAUUUAAUUUUAAGCAAUAUUAAAGCGUUAAUUUAAUAAACAAUGAUUUUCUUGAAAAAUAAGGACUAAAUUGUAAUAAGUGUGAAGUUUUGCAUGCCAUUAAUUGAUAAAUGAUAGUGAUGAAAACUGGCAAUACAAAUGUCGUAGGGGACAAGAUAUGAACAUGUUGGAUAUGAAUGAAAAGUGGAACUUUAAUGCAAUACAGUGAAAAGUGGCACUUUGAUGCAACUGACAGUGGCACUAUGGUACGAUAGUGAUUUAGUAAAUGAAAAAUGAUAAGAUUGAAAAUGAAGAUGAACAAUUAAUUAUUAUUUAAAUAAAUUUAUUAUGUUAUAUUUAAAGUUUUGAUAUGUUAGAUUUAAUUACGAUAAUGGUAGGUUUAAUUUCUGAUGUACUUACGAAGCUUAUAUAAGCUUAAUGCAUUACUUUUCAACGCGUGGUAAAAGGUAGUUUGAGGUACUAGAUCGAAGGUCAACAUUAGCUCACCUCAUCAUGUCCCAAGGUUGAAAGAAAGUAUGGUUUGAAUAUUUUGAUUCUAGUUAUGACAUGUACAUAGGUAAAAUCAAGUUGUGAACUAUAAUCCCUUUUUAUGGACCUAAUUGUAGAAUUUGUAAUCUUUUGCUAAUCUUAUAAUCUUGGUCAUAAAUGAAUGAGUUGUGGUAAGUUAUAUGAUUCUUGAGUUUAGAUUUGAACUUAUAUGAAUAAUACAUUGGUUGAUUUGGAUGGAAUAUGUAAAUUAAAAACAACUUAGGUGGUAAAAAAUUGAAAUAUUGAAAAUGGAUGAAAUAGGGUGCACGUCGCAAUGUCAAAUGUACCAUGUCACGAUGAGACUAAGUCAGAGAGUGAAGUUGGGAUGAAGGGCCCCUGACGUCACGAAUUUAGCCCGAAACAAUAGAAAUCUUAUAAUUUAGUCCUUGUUCUACCUUAGACCACUAAAAGAGUUGUCGUAAGCUCCUAUAUGAUCAAAUAUGUAUUCGAAACAUGUUGUAUUACUUAAUGAUCUUAAUAUUUCAAAUGAAACGAUAAAUGAAAUCGAAAUUAAAUUGAUGUUGCUUCAGCAACAAAUGUAGCAUUUUGAUAUCCUGACCCGACGAUUGGGUCGGGUACGGGAGUGUUACAUCUACAGAGCCUAGCUUAGUGAGAAGAAUCCACUAUCUUUCAACAAUUACAAGUAGUGAACCUAAAUCUAUCACACCCUAGUGAUGAUUCCUAACUAUUGUACCUUCAAAGACUAAACCUCCACCACUAAAUUCUCCACCUAAGAACUUAUUCUAUGAAACCACUACACAAAGGUUUUACAAUCUCAAAUUCAUUCUCACAAAUAAUGUUGUUCACUUGAGCAAAUUAAGUGCCCUCAAUUAUCAGUACAUCAACCUAUACAAGUCUCACAAUUAUAUAGAAUUUUCAAGACUUGCUAACAUAAUGAAGAUCAUUCAUGAUCCCUUCUAAAAGGUAGCUAAAGUAGCUUAAUAUAAUAUAAUAAUAACAGUCAAGGUAAUUUGGACAAUUGGCAGAUAAGAUACUAAAUUUUCGAUUCGAUCCAACUUCCUUGAUAUAAGAGAUUAGAUAGACUUUGUUCGAUCCGAUUCUCCAAAUGUUUCUCCAAGUGAUAUGAUCUUCAUUGAUGGGCAUAGUUAUUAGUUUAAUUUCGGAUUGAAGUUAUCAUCCAAUCGCACAAUUCAGCUCGAGUUCGAUUUUUUCACAUGGGAUUUGUUUUAUCCAAAUCAAAUUGAAUGAAAAAAAAUCUAUAUUUAAAGGAAUAGUCCUAAUAGAAUAAUAAAUUGAUCAUUUCAAUGUCUACAUGGACUAAUUCAUUUAAUUGUAUUAUUAUUAUUAUUAUUAUUAUUAUUAUUAUUAUUAUUAUUAAAAACUAGAUAUGACCAUACAAAAAGUUAAAGUUAUAGAAAUAUUUCAUAAAAAAAGUUAUGAAAGUGUAGCUUUGUAUUAGAAUAAGUUGAUCGUUUCUUAAAUAUAAUAAUUAUAAUUAUAAGCAUAAUUCUAAAUUUAGGGAAAUAGUUUAUUAAAUUUUAUAAUAUUUUCUUUAUAAAAGAAACAAUUAUAAACAAGUUGUCAAUUAUAUAUAUUUGAUAGUUAUGAAUUUAAUCACUUAUAUUGGCAUAUUGUAAUGACUCGGUUUUUUAAGGAAUGUAAUAACUCAAUUAUAACUAAUUAAAGUUAGCAUCUAAUUAAAGAAAUGACACAACAAAACACUAUGUACGUAAGUGAUUUAUGUAUUAGCUUUUCUUUUAAUAUCUUUAAACGAUUUAUAAACUUAAUAGACUAACUUAAAAUGCUUUUUAAAAGAUCUUAUGGAUGAUUGUGGUAUUAAUUUAAUUAUUUUAUUCACUUUAUAAAUGUAUAAAUGAAACUAGAGUAUAUAUUAUGAUUGGUGUGAAAAAAAAAAUCAAGAAUUGCAAUAUUAGAUUUUUUUUGGGCCCAAAACAAGGUGACAAUUUUUUUGACAAAACACAAAUUUUUUAAAAGUUGUUGUACCGAACCACAAUUUUCAGUUUCAGAUUUUUCAACUUUUAUUCCAUAUGAUUUCGGUUUCAAAUGUUAAAAAUCGAAUAGAGUAAUUCGAUUCAAAAAUCGAACUGAACCGAAUAUACCCCUAGGCAAGAUAUAAUCCACGAUCUUGGCUCAGCACAAAAGAUAUGGUUCAAUAAAUUGUCAAUCUCCUAAAUAUGACAAGUUGUUGAUUGUAUCAGUAAUGACGGAAGUGGGCAAUUCCUCAAGUACGUAUCAGCAACUCUAAAUAUUUCAACAGUAAUUAAUAUUGUCUAGAAAAAUAUAAAUUAUAUAAUUGUGUAAUUACAAUUUAUAAUACCAAACAUGACAUAGAAAAUUAUGAUAUAAUUAUAGUUUGUUAGUCGAACACGUCUAAUAAUUACAAUUUCAACCAAUUACGUAGUGUCAAUCCUAAAUACGUAAAAAAAUUCAAAUCUUCUAGGAUCUUUGUAAUUUAGUGAAAUUACUUUUACACUUAAAAAAAGGCUAAAAAUAAUUAUUUAACACACCGAAAUGCUUUCCAAAUCAUAAAAAUAAAUUGGAUAAAACUUCAAAUAUAUGCCAUGCUGUAUACAAAAUCAUAUGUAUCAUGAUGCAAGUUUGGAAAAUAUUCAUUAGUACUUUGAAUCGAUCACACAAGGUGCUAAAUGCAACACCUAGGCUACAUGGGUGAUUCCUUAUCCAACUGAGUACCAUGGAGCCUGAAGAGACAUGCCACUCUGGUUUGGUCUGCUACUUUUCUCUAUUAUUUCUUAUUUCUCUAAGUUUAUAUAUCAAAAUUUAUGUUAACACAAAUUAACCUAUCAAAUUUCAAUAUUUUAAAUAUGUGAGUAUGAUACAUAAAGAUGUGGAUUGAGAAAUUAGGAAGAAAUAGUUAGAUGAAAGUGAAAGAGAGAGUGAAAGGAGUGCGCGGUGAUAUGACGAGGAACCUGAUCCCUUUUGGGUUCUUGAAAUUCCAUUCUCCAUUAGGAUACCAACAAUAAUAUAUGGACCAAUUCAUAGGAAUGGGAUGCUACAUUCCAUUUGAAAGAUCAACAGUGCAGCACAAAUGCUUUUGUUUUUCAGGCCCCAUCAUUCUUGGGCCCAUUCUUCUCCAUCUAUUCCUAUCUAUACCCUCACAAACUAUUUUUCUCAUGAGUAUUUCAAAAGAAAAUUUGAAAAGUUCAGUGUUAUUGAAUUAUGCCAUCAGUUAAGAAAUCAGUUAACAAAUUAUACCAUCUUUUUCUACUCAACUUCUUUCCAAUAUUUGGAUUUCAUGUUUUAUCUGAGUUUUUUUUAUUAUAGAGGUUCAUCCAAUAUUAACUAUUUUACACAAAGUAUAUAGAAAAAAUGAAGUUAUUGAUAAGAAAAAUAAUACAUAGGUUUUGAAAUGGGAUGAGAAAGGAAUUGAAGUCAAUGAUUAAGAAAAAGGAAAAGAAGCUUGUUGAAAUGUGUGUUUUUUCAUCAAAUUAGGAUUUGGAUGAGUUUUUGAUGAGUUCUUGAAUUUUGUAUCAUUGGAAUUCUUGGGUAAAGAACAAACUAAAAGAAUAUAUUUAUAUUUAAAAGAAAUACUUAAGAAAAUAAUCUUUAACUUUUUUUGAAUUUUUUAAAUUAAAAAUUACCACGUGUCAUAAAAUAAGACUUAGGAAAUAAAGUAUAAUUUAGGAAUCACUUUGAAUAAUAAAACAUAUUUUAAGUAUCACUUGUGACAAAAAAAUUUUAAAUAACAACUUAAGAAAAUAACAUAAAUUUUUUAGUUCAAUAAAAAAAUAUAAUUUAAUUACCACUUUAAACAAUAAAAUAUCACUUGUUACAACAUAAGAAAAAGACAUGUUCUUUGAACUGAUGCAUUGCAAAGAAGGUUAAGUUAGAUGAAGUCUGAUCCCUAAACUUAGAAGCCAACCUUAAAUAGACAUUUGUCACUAUAAGCCAAAAAAUUAUCAUUACUUGCAUCUAUCUUUACAUAGACUGAGUGUAACGUAAUUUAGAUCAGUUGAAGCGUUAGAAAUGUUCUCACUUAAAUUUAUAACAAUGAUUUUUACGAAUAUAAAUAAAAUUAAUUAAAAAUCGUUUAAAUCAAUAUGAACCUUAAUGAUUGAAAGCAUUAAAAGGAAUCCCAGUGACCCAGUAGCCCUCCCUGGGUUCUCCAAAAAGAUGAAUACAAAGUAAUUCUCUUCACUGCUCUCAACAUUUUAUCAAAACAGAGCAGAUCAAUUACAUGCCAUUCAUGCAGAAGUGGGGCCGGAUGAUGAUGCAGCCCUCUUCUUGGCCAAGUAUUCCUCAGCUCGAGCAAGGUUCUUUGCAACUGAAGGCUUAACCCACUUCUUGCGCCCAGGCAGUACAGUGAGAGAGCAACUGGCAGCCUCAAGCUUUUCCUUUGCAGAUGCUUAAAGGGCACGGGCCUUCAUGUUCAGCUUUACCUUCAGCUCCCCGUCACCGAGAAUCUAAAUCAACACGAUUAUUGCAAUUACAAUUCUCUCAGUCUUUGCAUGAGAGAACUGAUUAAGAAGGUAGAAUUCCAUUGUUAUUACAAAUACAAUUCCAUUGUUAUUUCCAUUAAUAAUUAAGCAGGUCGGGAUUAAUGCUUCAUGCAUGAGAGAAACACAAUUUCCUACUCAAGUUGUUCUCCAGAACAAGUAGCAUUGGGGUCAUUAUACUUAAACAAAGUCUGGAAGGGGCUCUGUUAUAAUAAAAAUCCAAGAGCAUAUUCACCUUCAAAGGGAGUUUCCUCUCUCUUCCUUAAGGGUUGAUCAAACCCUUCUCCUUUAAAGUCUCCAACGACACCUCAUCUCCGUCUUGAAAUCCAGCUGUUUCGAUGUCUUUUAAGUUAACCGCUAUGUAUUUUGGUAAUCCCGCAUGCAUACCUUGCAAUGUCAAAUGAAAAUAGCUUUAAUUUAAACACUAAGUUAUUAUAGAAAAAAUUAAUAAAACAAUAAUAAUAAGUAAAAUAGGGGAGAAUUUUUAUUAUUUAAUUUUCACUUACAAUGUGCUAUUUAUAAGCUUCUUUACAUUCAAUUAAUAAAUGUAUUACAUUCAAUCAAUAAAUGUGAAUUAAGUUUUCUUAAUUACUCUAUUUAAUCAUCUCAUGGUUAUAAAUGAAGUAAAGAGUUUUAUCUCAUUACUUUAAUAAAUGUAUAAAUGGAUUAUAGACAUCCAUUUAAUGUAUUUACAACACUUCUCCUUGGAUGUCUUUUAACUAAAAAUGUGACUCAUUAAAACCUUUACUAGAAAAAACCUUGCGGGAUAAAAAACCUAAUUAAGGAAAAAGAGUGCACAAUCUCCUAUUACAAUUUGUCUUAUUAAAAACAUUUACUAGGAAAAUCCAGUGGGACAAAACCUUGGUUAAAAGAAAAGAGUACAACGUGUUUUAAACUCUCCCUAAUGGCAACAUCACAUUAUAUAUUUGAGUCGACACAUUCCAAUCUUGUCUCGUAGUCUUUCCAAUGUUGAAGUUGACAAUGUAUUGGUAAAAAGAUCUGAUAAAUCAUCACUAGAGCGAAUUCGUUGAACUUUUAUGUCACAUUUCUUCUCAAGAUCAUGAGUGAAGAACAAUUUUGGUGAAAUAUGUUUCACUCUGUCACCUUUGAUGUAACCACCCUUCAAUUGGGCUAUACAUGCUGCAUUAUCUUCGUAUAAGAUAGUUAGCAUCUUUUCCUAUAAAGGCAAAUUACAUAUCUUUUAGAUAUGUUGGGUUAAUAACCUUAGUCAAACACACUCUCGGUUUGUCUCAUGCAUUGCAAUUAUUUCAGCAUGAUUUGAAGAGGCAGCAGCUAAUGUCUGCUUUGUUGAACGUCAUGAUAUGACAGUACCUCCACAUGUAAAUAAAUAUCCCGUUUGAGAUCGACCUUUAUGUGGAUUCAAUAAAUAUCCAGCAUUAGCAUAGCCGACUAAUUGUAACGCCCCAAGAAUUUAAGAGUUUAAUUGGGAGAAUCUACAAUAAUUAAAAUUUGGUAUAUGUGGUUCUGUGCUCUACUUUUGCGUUUAAGGUCGGUAGUUCGAGUUGCAUUGUUAAAAUUUUUGUUAUUUUUUAAAACAACAUUUAUCCAUGUGUUAUGUAGUUAAGUGCAAUUCUAGGUAAAUCGGUGUCAAGAAUGAGCCUGUUGGUUCACUGGUUAAGCAUCUGUCUGUAUUCUGUCUAGUUCCUAGUUCAAGUCUCAUCGUGUGCGUUAGGAAAUAUAUUUUUGCAAAUGCCGAAAAGUAGGAUGGUGGUUAAUUUAAAACAUUCUGAAGAGUUCUAUCGUCCUUUUCUUUUUUCUUUUUUUAAAUUUUAGUUCAUUGCUUUCUUGUUCUUCUUUUCUUUUAUUUUUCUUCUUACUGCAAUUGAUUUUACGUGAAUUGGGAAUUCUUACGUGAAUUGGGAAUUCUUUGUUGCCUGUGAGGUUAAUAUUAUAUAAGUUCCAUUGUUAUUCCAUUUCGUUUUGCGAAUUCUGUUGUGUUAACACUAUUCUGUCGAAACGAGAUUUUGCUCGUUUGCUUGACAUUCUGUUAAACACUCGAUUGGUUACUUUUUAGGUGAGGAUAUUACAAGAGACGUGACUUCGUCGUGUUAGUCUGAUUCCUUCUGUUUCGUAGAAGGUAAGUAUGCGAUUUGAGUUGGGGUUGCGUCGAAAUUUUCGACAUGAUCUUGUCAGUAGGUGAUUUUAGUGAAAUCUUGAAAAUGAGGGUGUAAUUGAUUAUUGAAUGGUUAAUUAGGUUCUAGGUAGUCUUCACAUUGUUUUCUUUGGUCAAACGAAACUAGGUGCGUAUCAAAAACCUUAAUUUUUGUAAGUUUCGAUCAUCGAAAAUGGUGGAUGUCGACGCCACACGGCCAGGCACAUGGGCGCAUGUCCAGGCCAUGUGGUUGGCGGUGUAACUAACUGUUUAUCAAUUUGGGGUAACACGGGCAGGGACACGGGCGUGUGUCUAGGCCGUGUGUGGCCAUAUUAGUGCAGGGUUCACACAGGUAGCGGACACAGGCGUGUGUCAGGGCCGUGUAACUCACUAUUUAUGGAAUAAAACCACACGGCCAGGGACACGACGUGUACCUAGGCUGUGUAAGUCACACUGGCAAGAAGAAGGACGUGUGUCCAAGUCGUAUAACUCAAUUUUUAUGCUUUGAAACCACACGAGCAAGGCACAUGGGCAUGUGACCAAGCCGUAUGGCAUGUUAUUGGGGCCCAAACCUUUUUUCGAGGCCGUGAAUGUUAUUUAACACUGAUACUAGUAUUCUUGUUGUAUGAAUUUGAUUAUAUGGGAACUGUCUUAUAUUCUGAGACUGAAGUGGAAAUAACAUAGUUGUAUAAAUAUUAAUAUACUUAUUCUGGAAAUGAACUGUCUUAUCUAUUUGUGAAAUAAACUAGAAUGAUUGAAUAUAUUAUACAGGUAAUUGUGCUCUGCAUUUGCAUGGAUAGGGAUAUUGUGACAAAGGAAGUAGUCUGUUCUGAAUCAGUGGUUAUGCCACUAUACGUAUAAAUCUGAUUCUAGCGAUUUGUCGUAAUCUGGUCUAGCAACUAUGCUGCGUAUCUGUAAAGUGUCAAACGGACACUCUAAGGUGUGCAGGGUUAGUUUGGCAUUGAAUGUCCUUAACAGUGUGUUGGGAUGGCUGAAGACGGUGCGUAGCGGAUGGGGGUAGAAAUAUUGCAUCUAAAUCUGAUAUGUAUCAUAUAUGAAACCAGAAUUGCGUAUAUGUAUGUGUAACUAACCUACUCUGAAUCUGAACUGAAAUAUCUUUUGUGUUGAACCGAAUCUCUGAAUUCAGAACUAUUUUAUAAGUGAGCAUUUAUUGAAAAACUUCUUUUACGCACUGAGUUCAUAACUUAUUCUGUCAUUGCUUGGAUUUCAAGUGGUUCGUAGACUUGAACGGGUCGGUGUUGCGGGAGCUCGGUCGAGCCAUUAGCUUUCUAUAAAAUAUUUCGGUAAGAGUUUCGAUAAAUUAGAAUAGUAUGACUUUGGAAGAUUAUAUACUUAACUAAUUUUUGUGUUGAAUUUUAUGUGAAUCAUGGUUUGGUAUUAUUGUGUUUUGCAUAGUAUUUGAGUAUUCAUAAUGUAACUCUCUAAACUUGGACUGGACGGCUAAGCUGGGUCUAGGGUGUUACAUUUAGUGGUAUCAGAGCCAAGCUUGUCAACACUGGGACUAUGUUUGGGCUCAUAAUGUGUGAGAAAAAUAGCUUAGUGAUAAUUUAGUAUCUAAAUUAAUAUAGAAACACUGAAACUUUAGUGAACGACCAAGCCUCCGAUGCUGACCCUGUAAGUAUUUCGGUUCUAUUAUAAAGAUUAUAAUACUUAAACUGUUGUGGGUAAAAUGUUUUGAUGUGAACUGGCAAAAUCAUCCUCUUGAACGUCUAAACUAAUUUGUGUACUCUGAUAUUGUAGCUAGAUUGCCAUAAUAAGUUCGGACAGUAGUAUGAACGUGGUAUGCUGGGGCAUCGAGCAUAUCGAGGAGGAGCUCAAGCAGAGUCAUCCUUUACGAGUAGUAUGCCCAACCUUGAGACCAGUGAGACUGUUGGUACUCCCACUGGUAAGGCGGAGUCCCAAACUUCGACGGUUGGGGACGACGCACUACCCCAAGCCAUGAUUCGAGCACUGAAGAGGGUCGUAGGGACCUAUUCGAGAUCGAGAUGGCUAGGGUCAGUUACUGGAUAACUCCGAUCGAAUUGGGCUAAUUAUUUAGGGGCGUUAUAGAAGUCGCUUCCACUAUUGCUGAAUAUUGGCUCGAGGCCACUGAGCAUAUUAUGACAGAUCUUGACUGUACUUCUACUCAAAAAUUAAGGGAUGCUGUGUCCCUAUUCCAGGACAAAGCUUAUCAGUGGUGGUUGAUAGUUGAGCAAGGUGUUCAGCCUGAACAGGUGAACUGAGACUAUUUCAAGAACACCUUCUAAGGUAAGUAUGUGAGGGCAAAUUAUGUUGAGGCUCACCGAUACGAGUCCAUGAGCCUAGUUCAAGGCGACCGAUCGGUGGCCAAAUAGGAAGUUGAGUUUUUACGACUGAGUAGGUAUGUAUGGACUCUAGUAGCGUCUAAUUAUGAAAAGUGUGUAAAGUUUGAGGGGUGUUGUUUCCUUAUUUCGGGACGAAGCUUAUCAGUGGUGGUUGACAGUUGAACAAAGUGUUCAGCCUGAAUAGGUGAACUGGGACUAUUUCAAGAACACAUUCCAAGGUUAGUAUGUGAGGGCAAAUUAUGUUGAAGCUCACCGAUACGAGUUCAUGAGCCUAGUUCAGGGCAACCGAUCGGUGGCCAAAUAUGAAGCCAAGUUUUUACAACUAAGUAGGUAUGCAUGGACUCUAGUAGCGUCUGAUUACGAUAAGUGUGUGAGGUUUGAGGGAUUAAGAUAUGAUCUGCAAGUUUUGAUAGCUCCUCAGAGGGAGCGAAUUUUUGCUGUUCUAGUUAACAAAGAAAAAAUAGUGGAAGAACUGAAGCGUACUAAGCGUAAGUGGCGUGAUCGUGAGAAGGAUCAGAAUAAGAUUAAGAAGGAUUCGAGUCCCUCUGGUUGUAGUCAGCGUCUUAAAAAGCGGACGACAUUUGAUAGGCCCCCGAGGGCCGAUGCACCAGUUGUAGUGACUGAGAUUCAACUGUGUAGUGAUUGUGGGAACUGCCAUCCGAGCGAGUGCUAGAGGAAGUUAGGAGUAUGCAUCCAUUGCGGUUCAAUGGAGCAUCGAGUUAGGGAUUGCCCCCGUUGACCAGAUCUAGUGUUAGCUACGGCACGGGCUCUGGCUCCAAAUUAUGUUUGGCCUCCAAAAGAGGUUCAGCAACCAUUCAGAGGUUGUGGUACUGAUAGGGGUGGUAAUAGAUCUGGGAGAGGACAAAGAGCAUCGGGUAGAGGUGUAGGUCAGGCUAAGGCUUGUCAGCCGGCACUAGUUUAUGCAGCAAGAUUCCGUGAGGAGAGCAAUGAUGCUAAUGUCAUUGCAGGUACCUUCUUUAUUCAUUCUGUUCCGUAUUAUGCUCUCAUUUAUAUAGGCUCUACUCAUUCGUACAUAGCUAGUGUUAUUUCUGUAAAUCUGGGUUUAACCGCUCAGAAUACUCCUAGAGAGUUUUCUGUAAUCAGUCCUUUGGGUCAGUCAAUUUGAGUUGAUAGGGUAUACAAGCGGGUACCCCUUGAGUUCCAGGGUAUGGUAUUUCCAGUUGAUUUAAUGGAAUUACCUUUUAAUGAUUUUGAUUUAAUUUUGGGAAUAGAUUGUCUCAUUGAGUAUCUGGUCAGUCUAGACUGUACAACUAAGAGAGUUAUUCUGCAAUCGAAUAAGAAUGACAAGGUGGUCAUGGUUGGUGAGCGACGGGAUUACCUCUCUAAUUUAAUCUCCACUGUUGUAGCAGAAAAGUUAGCUCAAAAAGGGUGUGAGGCAUACCUUGCUUACGUCUUCGAUUAUAUUUUUGCAAAACAUUCGGUGGGGGAUAUCCGUACUGUGAAGGAGUUCCCAGAUGUAUUUCUAGAGGAAUUGCUAAGAGUACCUCCUGAUAGAGAGAUCGAGUUUGGAAUUGUUCUAUUACCAGGUACUGCUCCAGUGUCCAUUGCGCCUUACUGCAUGGCACCGAAAGAGCUGACCGAGUUAAAAGCGUAGCUUCAAGAACUCCUUGAUAGAGGAUUUAUUCGAGCAAGUGUGUCUCCAUGGGGGCACCAGUAUUGUUUGUUAAGAAGAAAGACGGGUCGAUGAGAAUGUGCAUAGAUUAUAGACAGUUGAACAAGUUGACAAUCAAGAAUAAGUACCCGUUACUGAGGAUCGAUAACUUUUUCGACUAGUUUCAAAAAGCAUCUGUCUUUUCUAAAAUUGAUCUACGCUCUGGUUACCAUCAGCUCAAGGUCAAAGAGACUGAUGUGUACAAAACUACCUUCAAGACUCGUUACAGACAUUACGAGUUCCUGGUAAUGCCUUUUGGUUUAACGAAUGCCCCGAUAGCAUUUAUGGAUUUAAUGAAUCGAGUGUUUCAAUCGUACUUGGAUCAAUUUUUAGUGGUUUUUAUUGAUGAUAUCCUGAUCUACACUAAAACUGAAAUUGAGCAUGAUGAUCAUCUUCAUAUUGUGCUUUAGAUACUCUAAGAAAAAUAGUUGUAUGCCAAGUUCAGUAAGUGCAAGUUUUGGUUACAGGAAGUCACUUUUCUAGGUCAUGUAGUGACGGUGGAGGGGAUCCGAGUUGAUGCCAAGAAGAUAGCAGCUAUUGUUGAGUGGAAACAACUGAAAAAUAUAUAUGAGCUUUAUAGCUUCUUAGGUUUAGUCGGUUACUAUUGAAGGUUCAUCGAAAGAUUUUCUCUGAUUACGUCUCCUCUGACGAAACUGUUCCGUAAGAAUGCUCCAUUCGUGUGGCCUGGGGCACAAUAGUCUAGUUUCGAUAAGCUCAAGUCUGUUCUGGCACAGGCUCCUGUGUUAGUUCAACCGAAAUCGGGUCGGGAGUUUGUAGUAUACAGUGAUGCUUCACAUGUUGGGUUAGGAUGUGUGCUUAUGCAAUACGGUAAGAUGGUCGUUUAUGCGUCACGAUAGCUUAAAAUAAAUAAGGGUAACUACCCUACACACGAUCUUGAGUUAGCUGCGGUUGUGUUUGCUUUGAAAAUCGGGAGAUACUAUCUGUAUGGUGAAAUGUGUAUUAUAUAUACUGAUCACAAGAGUCUCAAAUAUUUGCUAACCCAAAAAGAAUUAAAUCUUCGGUAGCGUCGAUGGGUUGAAUUACUUAAAGAUUAUGAUUGCACAAUAGAGUACCAUCCGGGUAAGGCUAAUAUGGUAGCUGGCGCCCUUAGCCAUAGAGCCAUGACUGAUUUGAGAGUAAUGUUAGCUUGUUUGAGUUUGGUCAAGGAUAGAAGGCUGUUGACUGAAUUAUAGGUAAAACCGAUUUGGGUGGAGUAGAUUAGAGCUAAACAGUUGAGCGAUGAGUCCUUAGUUUGGCAUCUAUAACAUGUUGAUUCGAACGAGACUUCUAAUUUUAGCUUGAACAACAACAACGUGUUGUGCUUUAAAGGUUAGAUCUGUGUACUUAAUGACAGAGAGUUGAGGCAUUCAAUCCUUUAGGAGGCGCAUAGUAGUCCCUAUGCUAUGCAUCUUGGUGCGAACAAAAUGUAUCGGGAUUUCUGAGAACUCUACUGGUGGCCCAAACUGAAAUAGGAGAUACUCGCUUUUGUGUUCCACUGUUUGACGUACCAAAAGGUUAAGGCGGAACAUUAGCUGCCAUCCAGGUUGCUUGAACUAGUUAAAAUUCCUUAGUGGAAAUGGGAGAAAAUAAUGAUGAAUUUUGUUAGUGGGUUGCCUUUAACCCCUACUAAGAAAGAUUCAAUUUGGGUCAUCGUUGAUCGAUUGACCAAAUCAGCCCACUUCAUACCCAUCUAGACAGAUUACUCCUUACAGAAGUUGGCUAAACUGUACAUCGCCAAAAUUGUGAGGCUACACGGAAUUCUGAUCUCAAUCAUCUCUGAAAGAGAUUUGCGAUUUAUGUCUCGGUUCUAGAAGAAACUCCAUGAGGCUUUAGGCACUUAACUUAAUUUCAGGACUGUGUACCACCCUCAGACUGACGGGCAGUCGGAGCGAGUCAUUCAGAUCCUAGCGUUGGGGUUGUGUGUUAGACUUCAUUGGUAGUUGGGAGGAGUAACUAGCAUUGGCAGAGUUCGUAUAUAAUAACAGCUUCCUGUCUAGUAUUCAAAUGUCACCAUACGAAGCUUUGUAUGGUCAUAGGUGCCGUACUCCGUUAUAUGGGACAGAAAUAAGCGAACGUCGACUUCUGGGUCUUGAGUUAGUUUCUAAAACUGAAAACACUAUGAAAGUAAUUUGGGACCAUCUAAAAGCCGCAUCUAAUCAACAGAAGUCUUAUGUUGAUUUAAAAAAAGAAAGACAUCGAGUUUUCUAUUGGUGAUUAAAUUUUAUUGAGAGUAUCACCGUGGAAAAAGGUACUCCGAUUUGGACGCAAAGGCAAGAUAAGCCCAAGGUUCAUUGGGCCUUACCAAAUCUUGAAGCGUGUCGGACCUGUUGCUUACCAAUUAGAAUUACCAUCGGAGUUGGAUCGGAUUCAUGACAUGUUUCAUGUCUCGAUGUUGAGAUGGUAUCUGUUAGAUUUGUUGCAUAUUGUUCUUAUCGACGAGAUCGAGUUGCGAUCGGAUUUAACAUUCGAAGAGGAACCUGUCCAGAUUUUGGAACGUGAUGUUAAGGUACUGAGGAAGAAAAAUGUUCCUCUAGUGAAAGUUUUAUGGCGGAACCACGGUAUUGAGAAAGCCACGUGGGAACUUGAAGAAGCGAUCUGACGGCUGUAUCUGUAUCUGUAUUUGUUUGAGUCAGGUAAAAUUUUAAGGCCGAAAUUUCUUUUAGGGGGAGAGAGUUGUAAUGCCCCCAAAAUUUAAAAGUUUAAUUGUGAGAAUCUGCAUUAAUUAAAAUUCUGUAUCUGUGGUUUUGUGCUCUGCUUUUGUGUUUAAGGUCGGGAGUUCGAGUUGCAUUGUUAAAAGUUUUGUUAUUUUUUAAAACAACUUUUAUCCAUGUGUUAUGUAGUUUAGUGCAAUUCUGGGUAAAUCGGUGUCUAGAAUGAGCCUGCUGGUUCACUGGUUAAGCAUCUGUCUAUAUUCUGUCUAGUUCUGAGUUCAAGUCCCAUCAUGUGUGUUAGGAAAUUUAUUUUUGCAAAUACCGAAAGGUGGGAUAGGUUAAUUUAAAACAUUCUGAAGAGUUCCUUGUUUUCCUUUUUUUUUCUUUUUCUAAAUUUUAGUUCCUUAUUUUCCUGUUCUUCUUUUCUUUUGUUUUCUUUUUCUUCUUACUCCAAUUGAUUUUGCAUGAAUGGGGAAUUCUUCAUUGCCUGUGAGGUUGAUAUUGUGUAAGUUUCGUUGUUAUUCCUUUUCAUUUUGCGAAUUUUGUUAUGUUAACACUAUUCUGUCGAAACGAGAUUUUGCUCGUUUGCUUGACGUUCUAUUAAACACUCGAUUGGUUACUUUUUAGGCAAGGAUAUUACAAGAGAUGUGACUUCACCAUGUUAGUCUGAUUCCUUCUGUUUCGCACAAUAUAAGUUUGUGAUUUGAGUUGGGGUUGCGUCAAAAUGUUUGGCAUGAUCUUGACGUAGGUGAUUUUAGUAAAAUAUUGAAAAUGAGGGUGUAAUUGAUUAUUGAAUGGUUAAUUAGGUUCUAGGUAGUCUUCGCAUUGUUUUUUUUCGUCAAAAAAACUAGGUGUGUAUUAGAACCUUAAUUUUUGCAAGUUUCGGUCACCGAAAAUGGUGGUUGUCAAUGCCACAUGGCCAGGUACACGAGCGUGUGUCCAGGCUGUGUGAGCCAUACAUUCGUGUGGCUGGCCGUGGAACUUACUGUUUAUCAAUUUGAGGCCACACGAGUAGGACACGGGCGUGUGUCUAGGCCGUGUGUGGCCAUAUUAGUGUAAGGUUCACAUGGGUAACGGACACGGGCGUGUGUUGAGACCGUGUAACUCACUGUUUAUGGUAUAAGACCAUACGGGCAAAGCACACGGGCGUGUGUCUUGGCCGUGUAACUCACUGUUUAUGGAAUAAAACUACACGACAAGGGAAACGAGCGUGUACCCUAGUCGUGUGAGUCACAAGAGCAGGAACACGGACGUGUGUCCAGGCCGUGUAACUCACUGUUUAUGUUUCAGAACCACACUGGCAAGGCACAUAGGCGUGUGACCAGGCCGUGUGGCAUGUUAUUGGGGCCCGAAACUUAUUUUUGAGGCUAUGAAUGUUAUUUAACACUGAUACUAGUAUUUUCGUUGUAUGAAUUUGAUUAUAUGGAACUGUUUGAUAUUUUGAGAUUGAAGUGGAAAUAACAUAGUUGUAUAAAUAUUAAGAUACUUAUUCUGGAAUUGAACCGUCUUAUCUAUUUGUCAAAUAAACUAGAAUGACUGAAUACAUGAUACGGGUAAUUGUGCUCUACAUCUAUAUUUCCAUUUUUUCAAUCUGUAGGCUAAGAUAAAACUUUGUUUUUCCAAGAUCUUUCAUCUCAAAUUCUUUCUUUAAAUAAUUUAUUGCAUUUUGAAGCUCUUCAAGAGUUCCAAUAAUAUUUAGAUCAUCAAUAUAAAUAAAAAUUAUCAUAAAGUUUGAACCACAGCUUUUUAUAAAAACACAUGGAUAGAUUGGAUCGUUUCUAUAACAUUUUUUAACAAAUAUUCACUAAGACGAUUGUACCACAUACGUCCAAAUUGUUUUAGUCCAUAUAAACUUUUCUUUAAUCUGAUUGAGCAAUUUUCCUGAAAAACCCUAUAUCCUUCAGGGAUUUUCAUAUAAAUUUCACUAUCAAGUGUAUCAUACAAAUAGGCCGUCCAUUAGAUGCAUGUCAAGUAUUUCACAUACUGUCAGACUAAUAAGGUAUCUAAACGUGAUUGCAUCCACCAUAGGAGAAUAUGUCUCUUCGUAAUCAAUGUUAAACUUUUGUGAAAAUUCUUAUGCUACAAGUUAUGCUUUAUAUGUUACGACAUCAUUUUUCUCAUUUCGUUUUUGCAUAAAUAUCCAUUUAUAUCUUACCAGCUUUACAUAUUUAGGUGUUUGGACUAUAGGUCAAAAAACCUCACGUUUAGAAAGUGAAUUUAAGUCUCUUGAAUUGUGCCUUUCCAUUUUGGUCAAUCUUUUCUAUUUCUAUAUUUCUCAAUAGAUUUAGGCUCAGGAUCCUCAUUUUCUUUUGAUAUUUCAAUAGCAACAUUAUAAGAAAAAAUGUUGUUGACAACUAUAUUUUUCUAGUUCCAUCUUUUUCCUAAAGUAACAUAACUUAUUAAGAUCUCUUCGUCAUCACCAUUUUUAGGUACCUGAACCUCUUAUGGGGUUUUUUGAUUAGUUAUAUAUUUGGUCACUUCUUGGGCACUUACCUCCAGAAUACAACCAUCUUAAAUAUUUGCUCAUUUCCUUUUACGAUGAUUUUUAUAUUUGGAACCGACUGGUCUUCCACGCUUUUGGCGUGAAUUACUUUCUUUUACACUAAUAGUUUUCCCUAUUGGGACAACAAUUCGUAUUAGAGCAUUUUCAGCUGGUAUGUGAGAUUUUGUAAUUGUCUUUAGGUCAGUAAAUGAAUCUGGCAAUUGAUUGGCAAUGUUUUGCAAAUGUAUGAUCCUUUGAACUUCUUGUUCACAUUGACUUGUACGAUGACCUAAUUGAGAUAAUGAUGAUCCAUUCCAUGUAAUUUCUUUUAUCAGUUGUAUUUUCUCUCCCCUUUAAUGUUGGGAAUGUUGUUUCAUCACAAUGAUAAUCAAUAAAUCAUGCAGUAAAUAAAUCUUCAGUUAAUGGUUUAACAUACUUAAUUAUAGAAGGAGAUUCAUAACCAACAUAUAUUCUCAACCUCCUUUGAGGACCUAUCUUUGUUCGUUGUGGUGGAGUAAUUGGAACAUAUACUGCACAUCCAAAAAUUCUAAGAUGGUAAAUGUUUGGUUCCUAACCAAAAGCAAAUUGUAAUGGGGAGUAUUUAUUAUGACUUGUUGCCUUGAAGCGCACAAGUGCUAAGUGCUGCUGCAUGCAAAAUAGCAUAUUCCCAAGCUGUAGCAGAGAGUUUUGUUCUCAUAAGCAAUGGCCUAGCUAUUAGUUGGAGGUGUUUGAUAAAUGAUUUAGCUAAACCACUUUAUGUGUGAACAUGAGCUACAGGAUGUUCAAUUUUUAUCUCAAUUGACAUACAAUAAUCAUUAAAAGCUUGGGACGUAAACUCACCAGCAUUAUCAAGAUGAAUAGUUUUGAAUCCAUAAUUUGGUAAUUGUGCUCUUAAUAGAAUUAUUUGAGCAAGUUGUCUCGUAAACGCAAGGUUGCGAGUCAAUAAUAAACACACAUGUGACCACCUGUAAUAUCCCUAAAUCGAGUCUAGUAGUUUCGGGUAUAUUUUUUGGGUUCUGAGUGUGAAACUAAGAAUUUAUAGGGUUUCUAGUAAUUUUUAAUUUAAUUUAAUUUAGGAGUUUAAUUUCAUCUAAAAUCGAUUAAAAAAUAAUCCAAAAAAUAUAAAAUAUAUUUUCAAAAAAUUAAUUUUAAAGAUUUUAAAUAAUUAUUAGUGAAAAUAAUCAAUUUGGGUUGAAAAAGAAUUUUAAAAUAAUUUUUAUUUGGUGUAAUUUGAGUAAAAUUUAAAUAAUAAUUAAAUAGGAUUUAAUUGUAGAACAAUGGCAAAUUUAGAGUAUUUAUAUGGGAAAUAAACCUUAAAAUUCAGAAUUUUGGAGGAAGAGGACUUAAAAUUCGGAAUUUUGGAGGGAAAGGAUUAAAUAGUAAAGUAAGAGAAAUGUGGGAGUAGUCAUUAAGAAAAUUUCCCAAUUUUUAAAUUUCUAGUGGGUGGUUUCAAUUUUAAAACUAAUAUAUCUAGCCCACUUUUUACACAUUUUACAUCAGAUUAGAGAGCUUUAAAAUUCGUUUUCUUUGCAUGAUUUUAAAGAUUUAUCAUUAGAGAAUAGAUCCAACCAAUUUCCUUCUCAAAAUACUCUCAAUUCACCUUAAAUUAUGCUCAAAAGUAGCAAAAAAUAUUCUGAAAGUUCUCAAGUUUCUUGAAUCAAGAUUUUCAAUUAAUGAAUUUAGAGCGAAUGAAAGGUAAUCUUCAAUCCUGAACUUAUUUUUAUGAUGAUUAGAAAUAUUUUUACAUGAUUUGAGAGUCAAUUAAAUGAUUUUUAUCAAUGUCAUCUUCUUCUAAGAACACAUGGUUCUUUAAUGGUGGAUCUUGAAUUUUGAGAGGAAAUCCACAAAUCAAUGGAUGUUCUAACUCAAAAUGGAUCUAUUAAAAGGUUUUUUAUCUUAUUUAUCAAGAUUAAACAUGAUUUGUCAGGUAAUUUAAAGAAAUUUGAAUUUCAUCAUCUUCAUGAACCAAUUUUUCAGAAUUUUGUAAAAUUGAUUUAAAGAUGAAAUUGAUACUUAGUAUAAGUGUAUUUGAUAUAGUAUUGAUGACUGAAAGUGUUUAGGAGGGUUGGAGAGAUCGGUUUUGUGAGGAAUCGAGUUUUCGACUUGAUGUUAUAAAUCUGAUAAGGUAUCUUUAUGAGAGGAUUUCGACUAGUAUAGUUAAUUAAAAUUUGUGUUUAUUAUAGCAUUGGAAACGUGGUAAUGUCUAUUUUACCUUUGUUGAAGCUCCGAAUCUUGAAGAGGACUGAGCUAACUGGAAUUGAAGCUUGGAUUUGCUAGGUUGAUCACUUGUUUGUGGUAGAAUAAAUUGUGUGGUGAGUGUUUCGAAGGGCAAUUUGGUAAAUUCACCCUCAUUUAUGUUUAAUUACUAGCUUAAUUGAUGAUUUCAAUUGAUUAAUUAUGUUUGAAUGGCUUGUUUUUUCAAGAUUGAUAUUAUAUGUGCAAGAGUUGAUUUUUUAUUGAAUAAUGGUAAGUAAGAAUUUAGGUGGUUUUGUGCAAUUUAAUUAGGCUAAUUAUAUUGAUGAUUAGAGCAUGGUUACUGGAGUUUUUUUAUUAUGAUAUAUUGGUGUUACAAUUGGUAAUUGAACAUUGGAAAAUGACAAAUGAAAUGCUUGGUUUAAUUGGAUGUUAAAUGGCUAUGUUACAUGUUACACAUAAACAUUUUGUCACAUUAAAUUAAACACAAUAAUGAUUUAUUUAUAUGCUAUGUUUGACUGAAUAUAUUGGCAACAUGCAUGGUGGAUCCAUUGGAUAUAGUUGGCAUGCCAUAGGAUUUUUGAGUACUCACCUUUAUUUGUGACAUUGUGAGCAUAUGGCUCUAGGUGGACUGAUUUGUUUGGAGUAGAUAAGGGAGUGUUGAGCAUGAGUUUCCACUUAUUGGGUUAUUUGAGGCACUAUAAGGGAGUGUGUGCUUCAACCCGUUCAACUCGGUGAACUGUAUUUAAUAUUUGUGAGAGUUCAAAGAUCCACUUAUCCAAUGUAUGAUCACCCAAUUAAGCCAUGAGAAGUGUAUGCCAAUAUAUUUAUUUGUGAUUAUUGUUAUAUCAUUCGAUGUUUGUAAGCCAUGAAUAAUUGAUUCUUGAUAUUGAUAAAGCAUAUGGAAAGUAAAUUGACAUGUUUUAUUAUUAUGGAUAAUAAUUGGUGAUUGAUUGAAUGUGAUUUAAGCAUGGUUUGGAUGAUGAUUUACUAGGUUUUUAUUAACAUUCACUGAGCUUUUUAAAACUCACACCCUCACAAUUUGUGCAGAUAAUCAUCGGACUUGAGGAGCUGAGGAGCCGAGCAUGAGAGUUCCAAGAGAUUAAGGCUUGGUAGAGACUUUAUUUCAAGUUUUAGAUAUUGUAAUCGGGCAUUGUGGAACUCCCCUAAGUUAGUUUAAUUUUGGUUGUAAUUGGACAUUGGACAUUUUAUUUUGGAUAGUUUUAUAAUAAUUUUGAGGCUUGCUUGAGUUUAAUUAUUAAAUGAUUUAUGGUGUAUUGUUGCUUGAUAACACGAUGAUUGAUAAUACGGUGUGUGAGACAUGAAAUUUAUACUAAUGAUUGUUUAAAUGAAGCUUCCAUGGAGUGGUUUACUAGCGACUAAGGUAUGCCACUUGUUUGAUUUAUCCAAUGUUUGUUAUGCAUGAAAUUGAUUGCCUAAUUCUAUAUAAUUGAGGCUUAAUUGAUGUCAAUAAAUUCAAUUGAAGGUGUAUGUACAUGUAUGUUAAUUAAUCAUAGUUAAAUUGGUUUAAUUGGCCAUUAAAAUAUACAAAAUCAGGUUUUAAAAUUAUUUUUUCACAAAAAUAGGUGUAGUGGUUUCCACACGGGCGUGUGAGGGGCUGCACACGGGCAUGUGGAGACUAGAGCUAUCACACAUGGGCAUGUAGGAUUUCCACACGGAUGUGUGCAAUCGGUCUAAAAGUUUUUCACAAUGUGAAUACGGUCGUUUAAUGACACACCGUCUGGGGGACACGGCCAUUUGGGUUUUGGGGGGUUUGAACUUUUUUCUUUUUAAAUUUUUAUUCUAACUUGUUUAAGUUGCAAUUUAGUAUUGAAAAUUGAUUAGUCUAAUUAGAGCCUUAGAUGAUAAGAAAACUUGGUAAAAUUUUAGGUUUAGUUUCAUAAUGGGUAAAAUUCGAUAGAAACACAGUUAAUUUAUAAUUCAGAAUAGGUCCUAGUAGUUUGUAAUUGUUACAAUUUAGUCCCUAAUAAUAAAACUUAAAUUAGACAUAGUAAAUGAACUCAAAUUAAGAUAAAAUUUUUAGCCUUGCAUAAUUUGACUAAAAGAAGGGUGGUAAACACUUAGAUCUAAAAUCAGGUUAGUUUUACCAUAAGUGGUAAAAUGACGAAAAUGCCCUUAGGUUAAAUUACCUAGGAAAAGUUUAAAAUUGGCUCAUAAUUUGCUUCUGUAUUAAUAAAUAACUAAUAAUUAGAUAAUAUUGAGGUGUUAUAAGGUCGGGGUGUGUCCUGGGUGGUCGUUAGUCGGAGAGUCACUUAGGUGGCUAAUGUAAUGCUUCGAAUUUGGGUUGGUCCGUCCUGAUUAGGUUUGGGCUGUCAUACCACCUACUAGAUGCAUUUAUCAAUACCAUAAAAUAUCUGAAUAGUCCACGUGAUGGAUGAAUGGGCCCAUAUAUAUCACGUUAAAUACGUUCUAGAAAUGCGAGAGAUUCAAUCCCAACUUUAGCUGGUGAUGGUCUAAUAAUCAAUUUUCCUUGAGAUUAAGCAACAUAAGAUAAAUCCUUGAAUUCAAGAAUCUUCUAGUUUUUUAAUAGGUGUCCAAUUGAAUUCUCGAUUAUUCUUUGCAUCAUAAUAGAUCUGGGAUGGCCUAAUCAGUCAUGGUAAAUACUAAAAGUAUGUGGUUCUACAAACUUCUGGUUUGUAGUAACAUGUGUCUCAAUUGCACUAAUAUGUGUAUAAUAUAAAUCUGAUGAAAAAUCAGGUAGUCUUUCCAAAACAUAUUUCUUUUCAUAUUCAACAUUUGUAAUAUAUAGAUAUCCAAUAUUUUUCUCAUUCAUAGUAUCAAUAUGAUAUCCAUUAAGAUGAAUAUCUUUAAAAUUCAAUAAAUUUCUUUGAGACUUAGUGAAAUGUAUAGCAUCAUUAAUGACAAAUUUUGUGCCUUUAGGUAAUAAUAUAAUAGCUCUCCCAAAGCCUUCAAUAAGUUUUGAACUACCCGAUAUUGUAUUAACAUGGCCAUCACUUAUUGUCAAAUGAGAAAAUUAUUUUUUAUCUUUGAGUAUCGUAUGUGUUGUAGCACUAUCAGCAAGACACAUGUCUCCAUUAAUUUUGGGUCCAACGAAAUUCUAUUGACUAUUCAUAUUCUUCAUAAAAAUAAACAAAAUAUAAUAUGAGAAAUGUUGCAAAUAUUUAUUAAAUAUAUAAUUUAUUCUUUAUGGAAGAAAUUAAAGCAAACUUAAAACAAAAUAAAAAUGUCAAAAUAACAUCAACUUUUCUAAUGAUUCUCAAAGAAAUCUACCACAUCUAGGUGAGUUAUAUUAUUAAGGUCAUGAAAUUUAUCACCAUCAUAGGCAUGGUCAGUUUUAGUAUCAUAGUGAAUAUGUUCAUUUUUUGCCUCCAUUUCAUCAUUUUGGGAUAUAAAAUUUUUCUUCAUAUUCUUUCCCUUCUUUAUAAUGGAUGCUUGAUAAAGUUUCACUAAAUACUCAAACGUACGACAGGUACAUGACCAAUGGCCCUUCAUACCACAUCGGUAGCAUAAAUUCUUAAUAAUCUUUGAAGGAUUAUUUUGACCACCUCUUUCUUGUCCUUCAUUGUUGUUCUUUUUCUAAUGGUUAGAAGUAUCACUGUUAUGACCACCAUGAUAACGAUUACUAGUAUGUCCUCGACCACGUCCCCCACUACAUCCACGACCGCGACCUCUAUAUUUUCCAUUUUCAUAAUUAUUGUGUACUGCUACAUUUAUUUUAGGGAAUGGUGCAGAACCAAUAGGACGAAUUUCAUGAUUUUUCAUUAACAACUCAUUAUUUUGUUGAGGCACCAAAAGGCAUGAAAUCAAUUUAGAAUACCUUUUAAAACCUUUUUCACGGUAUUGUUGCUACAGGAGCACAAUUAGUAUCAUAAAAGGUUCAAAAUGUUUUCUCUAACAAGUCCUCAUUAGUUAUGUUUUCUCCAUAUAAUUUUAGUUGAGAACUAAUUUUGAAAAGUUCUAAAUUGUAUUCACUUACAGUCUUAAAAUCUUGCAACCGUAAAUGCAUCCAAUCAUAACAAGCUUUAGGGAGUAUAAUCGUUUUCUGAUGGUCAAAUUGUUCUUUCAAAUUAUUUCACAACACAAGAGGGUCUUUCACAAUGAAAUAUUUCACUUUUAAUCCUUCAUGUAGAUGAUGACAGAUGAAAAUCAUUACUUUUGCCUUGUUUUGAUUAGAUGCUUCUUCAUAUGCUAAUAUAGUAUUUCCUAGACCUUUAGCAUCUGGGUGAAUUUUAACAUCUAACACCCAUGACAAAUAAUUCUUGCCUAAGAUGUCUAAAGCCACAAAAUCAAGUUUGGCAAGAUUUAACAUUAUAAUCACUUAAACCAAAAUAAAAAAAUUAGUAAAAUAAUAUGCAUUCUCAAACGUAAAAUAAUCCAAUUAUAUAUACCAAAUUUGCGAAAUAAUAAUAUGUACGUCAAAUAUUGGCAUAGAGAGGAAUAAUCAUAAUAAUAACUUAAAACAAAUUGCAUUAAUUGAAAUUUCUUUUAGUAAAAAAAAUUAUAUAUGAUUGUCAUUAUAACAUUUGAGUUGUAAAAAUAAAUGUGCAAAUGUUACCCAAAGCAAAUAUUUCAUCUAGAAAGUAAAAUAAAAUAAUGAUAAAAAUAUGUAUACAAUAUAUAGUUUAACGGGAGUUAUAGGGCAAAUUAUAUAAAGGUGAAAUGACGUGAAACUCACUAUGAACUUGUAGAAGCUCGUGCUAAUAACAUGUUAUAGAAAAAUUAAUAAAACAAUAAUAAUAAGUAAAAGGUGGAUGAAAAAUACAUGAGAAUUUUCAUUACUUAAUUUUCUCUUACAACAUGCUAUUUAUAAGCUCCUUUACAUUCAAUUAAUAAAUGUAUUACAUUCAAUCAAUAAAUGUGAAUUAAGUUUUCUUAAUUACUCCAUUUAAUCAUCUCAUAGUUAUAAAUGAAGUAGAGAAUUUUACAUCAUUACUUUAAUAAAUGUUUAAAGGGACAUAAGAAAAUAUAUAUAAAUAUUUAAGCAUGCAUGCAUGUAUAGUUGAUAUAUAUGUUAUACUAAAAGGCAAAAUAAUUUUAUUAAUGGAAGAGAUGAGUACAGAUGCUUUUUGUAAUAGUGGUGAGAAAAAACCAAUUAUAAUUUAUUCAAACCAAACCACAAUCUAUUUAUUUAAUUAUUUUUAUUUCAUUACAUAAAAAUAAAUCCUCUAUUUCUAAAUUAGCAAAAAUAUAAAAUAUUAAAAUAUAAUUCUUGCAGAACUUUAAAAACCAAUCAACCAAAUCACAAAUUUGGCCUGCUUUUUAUCUUGUUUUUAGAAAAUUAGAAUAUUGCAAAUUAACCACAACUUUUAUACAAAGUUGAACCAAAUCAUCGCCACCCGUAAAAUACACACCCAUCAAACGAAUCUAGCCACAACACCACCUAAAAACAUUUACUCCCCCAAUGCAAAACCUUCUUUAAUUCUUAGCAGAAACAACAAAAACUUCAUUGCCACAGUAUAUCAACCACCAUGAAAGCCAAAGAGGUGCCCAAAUCUUGUAUAUAAGAUCAAACAUGGUUAAGUGAUUAGAUAAACACUUUUAACUGCCUAGGAACUGUGCCAUGAUUAUUAGACCGCUAUGAAGAUGAGAGCUGAAGGGAAUGGGCCAGCUUGCAGGCUGUUUAAUGAAGCAAAGAAGGACUACACUGGUGAGCUAAGAACAGACAGUACUGCUGAGCUGGAAGAGAUGGACGGCAAAGGAAUUUAGCUAAGAACUCAGUUAUGAACGUGGACAAUUGAAUUGGUUUACAGCUGUAACUCUAUUAUUACUUUUUAGAGAUUGCCCACGGCAUAUGUCCAGUGAACUAUGAAUUUUCAUAUGUUUUCGGAAUGAAAUAAUCUUUCUUACCUCAGUUCCCUACUCUAUCUGAUCUACAUUCACUCCGGGAAAGAGUAAAACUCAGCAAUACAAAUGGUGGAAGGCACGAAACUAAAUACACUGCAGGAGCAGAUUCAAAGUUUGAAGAGGCAGAUGGAAGCAAUGGGAGCUGCAGAGAACACUGUGCCUAAAUGGUGGGAGGAGCUGCGCAUUGGUAUUGAAGCCAAGCUUCGGAAGAACCAGACUUACAUGACCAAGAUGUUGAUUUUUUGGAUGAAAAAUUUUAAAAUACUAAAUCUUAUAUGAUUAAUUAAAUUUAAUAUUUUGAAUGAUACAAAUUAAAAUCAUUGAUUGUGAACUCAAAUUUAAUUUAAUAAAAUAUGUAGGAAAUGGAUGUUUCAAAUGCAUAUAUUUAAUUUCCUAUUUCCGUUUUUUACCGUUAGUUAGUUUUUUGUUUUUGGUUACUAGAAAACAUAUUUCAUGAAUCAUGCAAUCUAUUUGCAAACUUAGAACAUCAUUAACAUUUAUUUAUGAAUUAUGUACUUCUAAAUGUUCACUAUCUCAUUGUCUUAAACUCAAAUGAGACAUUGCAAGUUAGCAUUUUUCCCUUAACGCAGAAGUUUUAUUGAAACUCAAAUAUCUCCGGAAAAAAAUUAGCUCAAAAAUGAAAAGAGACAAAAAUAUAAAAGUACAUAAAUAUUUCUAUACUUACAAAUAAAAGCAUAGUAUACAUUUUUUCAUUAGAACACAAAUAAAAGCAUAGAAUACAUUGAAUUUUAACAUAAUUAAAUAGACAAACAUGAAGAAAAUACAAAGCUCCCUCCCCUUGACUGCAUAUUGAUCUAAACAUACAUAUUCAUAUCAAAAUACAUGAAAGGAAGCUGUCACUUUAUUCAUUAAAUAGAUGCUUCAAGUAGCGAUAACAAUAGCAGCAUGCGAUAUUGUUUAGUUUGCUUGGAUGAGGUGGGCGUCAAUGUCUUUGGAGAUAUCUUGAACCAAUUGCAGUAGAGUCUCGGGGUCCGCAAUCCCAUCGUGCAGCUUCUCGUAUUCCAAAGUCCAGUGCACUACGCUGCCACUAUCCUCGCUCUUGGGCGAAACUAGAAUCGUGGCUACG
Molecule: long non-coding RNA, 72068 nt
Filed under: Gossypium raimondii (Peruvian cotton)
Lineage: Eukaryota; Viridiplantae; Streptophyta; Magnoliopsida; Malvales; Malvaceae
Description: long non-coding RNA (GRAI_LNC004140)
Source: RNAcentral